UCCUCGGCUGUCGGCUGAAAAGCCUUGCUCCUCAUAACAUGCGCAUCCGCUUUGCCCUGGCCGCCAUCAGUAAUUCAUAAAGUCGUUGGAGCGGGUGCUACCACUGGUACCGCUGCUGCUAAAUGCGGGCAAUUGGCCUUCUUAUGGCCCUUCUGAUUGCAAUUGAAGAAAAUUAGAUUUUCUAUCUAUAUGGUGAUGGUGGUAGUAGUGCAAUCCCUGCCAAAGUGCCAUGUCCUGCCGCACUUAUAGCUACCUGAACCACCUACCCCCCAGGCUCCGUCAUGAGACUUGUCGCACUUGCCACAACGGCCCCGGCCCUGCUGGCCCCUCGAUCUAGAAUCAAAUACCUUGGCUUUCUUAGCCUAAACCUCGGUUAUCUGCCCCUGCUCUGCCUUCCUUUUACCCAGGUGCUCCAAAUCAUUCUCUUGCUCUCGAUCCCUAGUUAUUAUGUUAUCUAAUGUCAGACAAGUAGAAAAACUAACAAAAUCUCGAAUAUUUAAUCUCAACAUAUCGUGGUACCAAGUCUUUUGCAUCUCCUCAUCUGUGGUAUAUUGAGGUACCAAUAGAGUUCUCUCCUAGAACUUGGCGGUGGUCUUCACCACGGUGUCAUUUGUCUGUCACAUAUCCAGGAACUCCCUCGCUAGUUGGUGCACCUCAACAGCUAGGUCAAACUCUACUCUGAAUAAGGUCAAAAAUAUGGCAAAGACAUAUUCUCAAUGGCUGGGGCUUUGUAACGCCCUGUUCUAAAUUAUUCAUUAAUGGAAUUUCAAAGGCUAAGGCUAGGGGCGUUUCGGGUACUUUAUGGGUCUUAGAGAGGUUAUUUGAAAAGGUUUCGGGUUGGGGUGUGUUGUUAGAAGUGUAGGGCUUCUCGCCACCUUUUCGUGGAUAUAAAGUUCAUCGGAAACGGAUCUAGAAUGAAGGAGUUAUGACACUUUGAAUAUAUUGGCAAUAAUGGCCCUUAUGGAAAAAAGUUCGCAUGGAAGGCCAUGCAUGCAAUUUGGAACGUGUGUGGGUACGCUCAGCGUAAGCUGGGUUACGCCCAACGUAAUAGAGCAAGUGAUCGUGGGUGCAGGGAGGCGUACGCCCAGCGUACGCUUAGAGUCUUAAAACCCUAUUUAUAGGGUGUGUCACUGUAUAAGGAACAUAAUGGCUCCAACCCUAGCCCCCUUAUCAGCCUCCCCAACCUCAGAGAAACCCUAGAACGCCCCAACCUUUCAUUUUGUGAGAUCUUGACCUUGGAAAGCUCAUAUUGGUUGUUUUAAGCUUGGAAGAGAAAAGAAGAGAUUGGCAAGGAGGAAUCUUGGAAGCUGGAGCUCAUAGAUCUGAUAUAGCAUCAUCUUUUGGAACUCUUUGGAGGUAUAAAGCUGAAAACUUUACUUAAGGGUGCUUAGAUCUAGUGUGGUUUAGUAUGGGUUAGUUUUGGUCCGAAGGUGGAAGCUUUAUGGCUUAAAUCUGAUUUCCAUACCAAGGGUUGCCUCCCUUGGUGUUAUAUUACUCCCUAGAACAGAAAGUUGAUAUCUUGACGGUCCAAAUGAGUUUGUGCAUGAGUUAAGACCUUUUUCCAUGGAAAUAGAUUAUGGUUUUUGAAGUUGGAGCUUAUGUGAGUCAUGGAAGCCAUAAAGUAAGCAACUUUUAUGGUUUAAGACAUGAAAUAAGACCUGGAUCUGAGUUUGUAGCCUCUGAAUCGGACUAUUAAGCACUUAAUGGGAAGAUGGCUUAACAGGGUACUAUGUUGGGCGUACGUGCAGGUACACCCAACGUACUCGUCAUCAAGCCUGUACGCUAAGCAUACAUUGGAAUACGCCCUACAUAAUGCUGCCAGUUUGGGUUUCGAGCAUUUAGGCCUCGGUGUGGGCUGUGCUUUGGACUAUAGGUCUUUGGGCCUUAGUGGGCCAUCAGUAGUCAGUGAUUAUGGGCCAAGUAUAUGUGUUGGGCUUAGGGUAAGGCCCAAUAAAGGGAUUGGGCCCAAUGUAGCAAAUUGGGCCAUUAAUGAGCCAAUAGUGGGCUUGGGAAGCCUAUCUAGUGUUGGGCCUUUUAUAUUAUGUUUGGGCCUUAGUUAUGGACCAUAUUGGGGGUAGGGGUAAAAUGGUCAUUUUACCAUGAGAAGAACUAUUGCAUUGAGCUAAGUGUUAUUUGAUCUUGGUAGCUCGGGGAGCUGAGGGAGCAGCAGUCGGGGAAAAACUUCAGUUAGCAGCUAGAGGGUUAUCAGCAAUGUUUAGCAGUACAGGUGAGUUUCCCUUUGUGUGAAUGGGUCUACGGCCACAAUGCCGGCCCAUGUAGUUAUGAGUAGGAAGACCUGGGGGUUAGCCCUAGGUACUGUUUGCUAGUAUGAUAUUCAGGACCAAGGUCCAAUGUCGGGCGAGUGCCCAAGGAAUGGUUUGCAUGAUAGAGUAUACUUGUUGUUUGUGUGAUACUUGUAUGUGCCUGGUAGGGAGGUGAGUGUGGGCGAGGUCCCGUAUCUCACCAUUAGCAGAGUAUGGACGGCGUUCCAUAUCUCAUUAGUAGCCGAGCAGGGGCGAGGCCCGAGUUAGGAAAGGAGUGAGUGUGGGCUGGGCCCGUAUCUCACUAUCAGCAGGAGUGUGGAUGGGGUUCCAUGACUCAUUAGUAGCAGGACAGGGGUGGGGUCUAAGAUAGGCGAGGCCUUAGAAUAGGAAUUCAGUAGUAUAUGUCUAGCUUAUGUGAUAUGAUAUGAAUAUGUGUUAGUAUAAGUUAGAGGGCGGGACCCAGAGGUAGGCGGGGCCUAAGAGAAACAGAUAUGUACGCCGAGCGGGACCCGAAGCCAGGCGAGGCCUGGAGCAGGCGGUGCCAGUUGUAGCGAGCGGGGCCUAAGGUAGUGGGCGAGGCCCAACAUUUGCAGUAUGUGGCUAUGUGUAUGGUAUGUGGUAGGUUAGGGAACUCACUAAACGUCGUGCUUACGGUUUUCAGUUUGGUUUCAGGUACUUCCGGUAGCGGAGGGAAGAGCUCGGGGUGAUCGCAUGGCACACACCAUUGUUUAGUCAGCCUGGGAUGUUUUACUCUGAUAAUAAGAAUAUGUUUUGAAUUAACACUCUGAUUUUAAGUUAUGAAUAAUUUUAUGUUUUUAUAAAUAUAUUUUAAGUAAUGUUUUUCAAACGAAAUUUUUAGUCAUGAUUUUUGGAUCGUUACAGGCUCCCAGAGUAUAGCCAACCUCCUCCCACCAAUCCCGAGCUCGCUCCCUCAGACAUCCUAUAGCGAAUCGAACCUUCGAUCCCUCCGGGUAAAAGCUCAUCAUCAGGGAACACUAAAUAUCUGCUAGCCAAUUCCCGACGACAAUAGGGUCCUUCACCCCAAAGAAAUCUGGUUCCCCACAUCCCCUGAAAUCCUUGAAGAAGAGAAUGCGGGCCCCAAACUGGCAAGUAGCUAGGUCAGCCCUGAAAAUCCGAAGGCGAUCCUUCAUCAGCUCGAUGAUACCUUCCUUGAUCAACCCAAACAUCACCGGCCUCGCAUCAAUGGUAAGAAGCAAUGAACUUUCGUAGACCCUCAUCAAUUGGUUUGGUGCCCAUGCCCGAACCGGAUCCAGAUCCUAAACCUCCUGCUCCAUGACUUGUUACCAACAUACUGAAACAUAACCACAUAAACAAUCAGUAAACAUACGAAGAGGUUCAUACUCUCAAGCUUCAUAGAUUCAUCAUGCUCUUCCUGAUCUCGGGUAUGCUUCUAUUAGUACGGGCUCAAUACUACCUUCCACACCUAUUUAUACCCUCCUCAAGGACUACCCUGACUCCUCCAAGUCACUCUCUUCCCAUCUAAUACUCUUUACCUAUUACCAAGCGUCCUAAGAGCCAAAACAUAGUCCAACAACUCCCUAGGGUUCCUUUCCCCACCACUCUCUGCUAUCAGUUGCAAAAGGAGCACUCACUAAUACCAUCCAACUACCACACGAAUACAACUACAUACUAUCGGUACUAGAUAGUUAUUUGAACAAAAGGUCCCACACUACAACGGUUGUACUCAAACAAGUGUUGUGUAAUAGAUUUAAAUCUAUCCUUCUAAAAUUAUCUAAUCCCAAUAAUAUAUAAUCAAAUGCAUUCGUCCACUAGUCAGCUAAUACUAAUAAAGUUACCUAAAAGCAUAAAGCACACAACAUUCGAGCAUCAAGUAAUUCAAGCCUGAACAUAACCUAAACAGACCAUCCUAUCAGACAACUGAUCUCAUACUAGCAUGCAGAUCUAUAAGCUCAUACAAUAGGCACAUAAAGGCAUCUCUCCUAGCAUACUAUCAUGCAAUCUUGAGCAUAUCCUUAACCCUAUUCUAGCAUACGAUUCACAUAUUCACAGCAUAACUUAAAACAUGCAUUGGUAUUUUGGGAUAUCUUACUUGUGCUGAUUUUACGCCUCACACCCGCUUCUUUUAUUGGAAAUUUCUUGUUAAAAUAUUUCUUUUUAUGACAAACUUACCAAAUCCACAAUUUGAGUACAGACAUACCCGAGAGUAUGUCUGAAUCACUCAAACCAAGGCUCUGAUACCAACUUAUAACAUCCCAAAAAUUCAAAUAAAAUUUUCACUUUUAAAUUCAUUUCAAUCAUACGGUAAUCAUAUAUAAAUAGUCGAGAGUAUAUCUUAAUAACAUAUUAUCAGAGUAAAAAAUCCCAGAACCACGUGAUCUGGAAAAUCAUAGGUGCAUGCAAUGCAAUCAGGCCGGGCCCUUCCCUUUCGAGUUGGGAGUACCUGAAACAUAAACUGAAAAAACCAUAAGCAAAAAGAUUAGUGAGUUCCCCCAAAAUACCCCAUACCAUACAUACAUAAUUACAAAUUAGGUCAAUAAUCUAACCCGAGAUUCUAAACCCUAAAUUCAAACUUAAGGGUAAAAAGGCUGCUUAAACGUUGCCUUAUUGGGCCUACCCUAUCAAGGCCCAAAUCCAAACUAGCCCAAAUGCAUUACAAGUCCAGCUAAAAAGAGACCCUAAGGCCCAAACACGAGCCCAAGAACUCCAUGAUGGCCUAAGGCUCACAAAUGACCUAAUACUACAAAUGGGACUAUGUCCCAAACUCAAUCAAGGUAGAAGCCCAACAAAUCCCGAGCCGAAAACGCCAAAAGCCCACAGACAGACGUAUGCACGACGUACCUGGCACGUAUGCCCGACAUAUGCUACUAAUUUGGAAACUGGGGCACUGGCCUAGUACACGCAGCGUACUCAUGGGUACAUCUUGCAUACUGAUCAGACAACUAUCCAUCAAGAUUUUUUUAACCCAUUAAGCUUUUGACGUCCAAAAUCAGAUCCAAGGUCAUUAUAGUGUAUUAAGCCAUAAAGUUUCAAACUUUAUGCUUUUUCAUGACUUAAUGGGACUCAAACCAUGGAUUAAGCCUUCUAUCUCUCUUAAGUGGUCACCAAAUCAUGCAUGGUUGAGUUCUAGCCUCCAAGGUACGAUUUUUAUGACUUCAUGCACCCAUAAGAUUCCAAAAGGACAACUCAAAUGGUUUGGAGUAGCCCAUACUCCAAAAGACCAAGUUAUGGGACCAAAAGAAGCUAAGUUCUUCCCUAAACCUAGAUCUAAAAUUAGAAUGAGCACGUUUCAGACUUUAUACCUCCAAUGAGCUAGAAAUGAUGCACAAUCUUUGGAGCUACAAGCUUCUUCUUGUCCUUUGCUUCUCCUCAAGCCUCCUUCUUCUUCAAGAUCACAAAAGGAACACCCAAAACUAUUAGUAAGCUCAAGAAAACCCCUCAAGCCUUUCACCUUAUUAGCCCCCAUUGCCUUUUGUGUUAAUCUCGAAACCCUAUGAAGAGGCCUUUAGAUCAAUCAAUACAUCAAACAAUAACAGUAAAUGAGAACAAGAGGAAUUCACGAAGAAAAACUUUCACUAAGAAAGAUAAUCUCACAAAGAGAUUAUCGUGUGCACAAAGCAGCGAUUAGGUUUUGUGAAGGGCGUACCCAUUCACAAACCUAUACAAAAGAUUAUAUACUGCUAUUCUAGACAAUCCCUACAAAUCAGGGAUAUGCCAGCUAACUAAUUUACGCUAACUAUAGAAACAAGAUAAAUACAAAAUCUGUUACAAUGCACUGAAUAAACUAAACACGCUGAGCUGCUUAAACGCUGAUGUUGAUACUAAGAUAUACGCUGAAGCUGAGGUCUGUUUUAAACAUUAUCAUAUUUCAAUGUUUGACCUUACAAUCUCCCCCAAUAUGAUGAUGUUCAAAACAAACUAAAUUAAAACACCUCUGGACAGGAACUCUUCAUACUCAGUUUCAACUUCUAUUUUUACUGGCCAGUAAGGACUAUCCAGCAACUCCUGUCUUCUGUUCAGCAGCUCCAUGGCAAUAAGGAUGUGAAAUUCUCCGGAGAGAUCUUGAUGACUCAUGCACAUUUGCCUUAAGCCAACGAGAUGAGUGGUUGGAGCCUUUGGAAUCUCAGCAGUUCGUUGAAAACACAUCUUUCGAUUUUUAUCAAGAUAGAACAUCCCGUGUUCAGGAGCUGAGAUAAACUUAUGCUGAACCAGAUCAACACUGAUAGGAAGAGAAUUGUUUAUUCCACCAGCACCAAAGUCUAGAACCAAUAUAUCUUCACCAUCAACUUGAAACUUGGUUCUUCGAGUUCUAGGAACAGAUAACCUUUGGCCUUGAUGCUGAGGUCGUUCUUUAGGAACAAGAUCCAAACGCUGAACUUUCUUGAUCAGCAAAUGAAGAGCACAAGUCAGUUCCGAAGAGUGAGCUGAGGUUUGCUUGGAUGCUAGUUCAAGUAGUUCCAUCCAUUCAGAAUAUCCAUACCUGAUCAGCUCAUCCCUCUUGACAACUUCAGUGUAUGAAUGCUGAGGACCUUGACGAGUGAUCAGCAACGUAAGGAUUUUUUCAUUUCGUGGUUUGGAAGCUUUGACUUUGAUGAUCUUAUCACCACACAUUCGUCGAUUAAGAACGUCUUCAAACCUCUUUCGAUCGAUCCGGUCAAGAACACUGUCAGUCUUAGGCUUGCUACUACUAUGAGAAGGUUGAGAAGAUUGAGAUUUGGACUGAAACUCUAGGAAUUUCUGCAUCUGAGUUUCAAAAGAUCCUUUGGCCUGAAGUUUGUGCUGAAUAAGAGAUUCAUCAGCUUGAGCAAUGUUCUUUAGAAGCUGAGCUUGAUUAGCUUCAUCAAGAAUUUGCUUAACUUGAUCAGGAGACAUGUUCCAUUCAGCCGCAAGAUUUGAAAUACUGACUAUGGACUUGGGUUUCUUCCCAGGCAGAGAAGUAUCAGUUUGAGAAUGAGCCAAGUCAGUAUCUGCUACCUUACGCUUCCGAGAUAGCGGAUGAGAUUCUUCACUGGCAACGUCCGAAUCUUCUCCUUGGACCGGAAUAAUGGGAUCAGCAACAGGAUCGACUGAUUUCAUGUCUGGACAUUGAGAUUCAUUAUCAAGAUCAUCUGAACUUUCUUCUUGAACUGGAAUAAGAGGAUUAAUGAAGUUCAUAUCCAGUAUUUGACAUUCAUCAUCUGGUUCAUCAUCAUGCUCACUAUCUUCAACCAGCUUUUCAGUAGCUGUUGGACUAUUAUGCCCCGCAGAGUCAGACUUAUGUGUCAGCAUGGGUGAUUCAGGCUGAACAAUUUCGGUGUCUCUCUCUUUUGGUUCAUCAUCAGCAUUAUCAUCAACAUCAACAUCAUCAGCAUCAACAUCAUCAUCAGUAUCUCCCCCUUUUUGAGCAUCAUCAGAUUGGGGACUAGAGGGAGGAGUAUGCAGGAGAACCUCCUUUAGCUGAUGAACAUCAGCCUCAAUGCGAAGAAGACGCUGACUCAUGUCCCGAGUCAGAGUCAGAAGUUCAGUAAAGGCUGAGGCCGGAAUUUGAACAACUGAAGUAGCUGGAGCUGCUGGAGAGCUAGGAGGCAUUACCGGAGAAUAUUGGUCCCCAUGGGGUGGAUUCUCCCCCUGAGAGGGAUGCUCCCCCUGGGAUGGUUGCUCCUCCUGAAAUUGUUGCUCCCCCUGACUCAGUGAAUCCUUUUGAGCUGAGGGAACAUCAGCAAUCGAGACGAUAUGAUGAGAAAGUUGAUGAGAGAAAUGACCACCAUCAUGUGGUUCAUCCUCUUGACCGACAUGAUCUACAUGGUUACCAUCAGCGCCUCCUUCAUCAGUGUCAGCGAUGAGAGAAGGAACAGUGUAUGGAUUUGCAAUCCAUUCUCUCAUCCUAUCAGAGAUUCCGAUGUCAGUAUCCAGGGGAUCAUCUUGAUACAUGCGAACAGACAUGCGAGGGCAUUGGAUGAGAUUUCUAGAAUGCGAGAAGUAGUCUGCAGCGAAAAAUUUGUCGAGCACAAGAGCAAUUCAGUGUGGAAAAGGAACAUGAUCAGCGCGUACAUUUGCACGAAGAAGCUGAACAAGUUGAUCAAAGAAUAGGGCCCCAUAAUCAAGUCUUUUGUUGAGAAGAAGUGAGCAGACGACUUGUUGCUCAUAAUUACUCAAUUGAUCACCACUUCGAGACUUGUGACCCACACACUUGCACAGAGCACCGAUGAAGAAUUUCCAUCCUGGGGUCAUACAUUGGCGCAAAAUAAGAGCUGAUCGAGCACCAGCCUUUGAGUGAUCAUAUCCCAGUUGAUCAAACAAACGUCUACACCGUUCAAUAGAAGGAAGUUCAGAGAAAGGUUCAAAGAUAGGUAACCUUAGUGUAGCACUGAGAAGUUCUGCGGUGAUAAAGACAGAGUGUCUUCCACGGCCAAUAGUCCCGGUAAUGACAUUGUUGCGUCAUUGACAGUUGCAGUGUAGUAGAACUCACAGACUUUUUCAUUGAAGAACUCUGAUGGAACGUCACUGAUUGCGUAUCGAAGGCGGCAAGAGGCUAAGAAAUUAACAAAAUCAUCGAGUCCAAGACCUCGAUGAACCUCGGGAAUAUCAGGGUUGAAAACAACGUUGGUGGCUUUGAUGUAUAUUGGGAGAAGAGGAGAGUUUGGGGCAGGGAUUACUCUUCAUGAAGUAGAAGAGAAGGUGAACAAAGAGGCAGCCAUUAGAGAGUUUUUAGGGUUUUAGGGUUUUGAGUAUAGGUGAAAGAAGGUUAGAUUGUGGAAGGAAAGUUUGAAAUAGGGAUGAGAAGAGGUUUAAAUAUGGAAUUAAACGGGGCUUUUUAAAAAGGUAAUGAUUAUCUUCUUAAAAAAACGGCGUAUCAUAACAACCUGUCAGAUAAAAAGCAGUCGUUGGGUAAAAGAGCUGUUGACUGAAGAUGAAACGUCAAUCAGUGUUUGCGGAAGCGCUGAGAUCAGUGUCACAAAAAUUACAUGCUGAAAGUAUUUCUCCGUCAAUUCAAGGUACAACUUGCUUAAUUGAGGCUAGCAAGGAGAUUGGUGCGUGUGAUAGAUACUAGUUGCAUUAUCUAACCAUCGGCACAGAGUGUUGUGACUUUAUCAGUGAGUGGUUUAUCUUACUGAAUCAUUAGACACUGAAUGAGAAGAAGGUAAAGAAAGGAUUGUUGCGUGUGAUAAACCUUGGUGUUUUGGUCUAACCAUCGGCAAAGAUUUUUAGACUCUCAUCAGUGUGUGUUUUGGCACACUGAAUCACAGAAUCAGUGUAAGAUUGGUAAGAAGAAAUAGUUGCGUGUGAUAGAUCUUGGUGUUUUGAUCUAACCAUCGGCAAAGAUUUUUAGACUCUCAUCAGCGUGUGUUUUGUCACACUGAAUCACAGAAUCAGUGUAAGAUUGGUAAGAAGGGAUAGUUGCGUGUGAUAGAUCUUGGUGUUUUGAUCUAACCAUCGGCAAAGAGUUUCAAGUUGUUAUCAGUGUAUGGUUUUUAGUACAGUGAAUCAUUCAACUUUAGUUUAGAAGACUUGAAGAAGAGAGAAAGAUAGGAGAUCAAACCAAGUACUCAGUAUGCAAAUAUCACCAGCAUGUCAUCAUCAGCACAAUGUACAUCAGCUUAUAAGACAAUACCAAACAUUAGCACAAUUAAUCAGCAAAAUUAAUUACAAGGUAAUCAUUCCAAGUUCUCCAAUAAUGUAAGCAGUUGUUUGAGAAUCCAGUGCCUUAGUGAAGAUAUCAGCAAGUUGCUCUGAAGUCUUGACAUGUUCAAGAACAACCUUUCCCUUUUCAACAUUAUCUCUGAUGAAAUGAUGUCUGAUUUCGAUAUGCUUCGUCUUUGAGUGCUGAACAGGGUUUUGUGUGAUUUGAAUGGCACUGGUGUUAUCACAAUAUAUGGGAGUCUUUGAGAACUUGAUCCCAUAGUCGAGAAGCUGAUUUUGAAUCCAUAAGAGCUGAGCACAACAUCUCCCAGCUGCAACAUACUCAGCUUCUGCAGUCGAGAUGGCUACUGAUGUUUGCUUCUUGCUAGACCAGCUGAUGAGACGAUUUCCAAGGAAGUGACAUCCACCAGACGUACUCUUUUUGUCUAAAUUGCAUCCUGCAUAGUCUGAAUCAGUGUAUCCAAAAAGUUCAAAUGCUGAGUCGCGAGGAUACCACAGUGCUAGGUUUUGAGUCCCUUUCAAGUAUCGAAAGAUACGUUUGACGGCCAUGAGAUGGGAUUCCUUGGGAUUAGCUUGGAAUCGAGCACAGAGAAUGGUUCCAAACAUGAUAUCAGGACGACUUGCCGUGAGAUAUAAAAGAGAUCCAAUCAUUCCUCGAUACAGAGAGUGAUUUACAUCAGUUCCAGUUGGAUCAGCGUGUAUCUUAUCAGUCUUGGACACUGGAGUAGAGGCUGGUUUGCAGUCACUGAGAGAAUACUUAACAAGCAAGUCAGAAAUAUAUUUACUUUGGCAAAUAGAAAUACCUGACUUUUGUUGCUGAACUUCAAGACCUAAGAAAAAGGUCAUCUUCCCCAUCAUGCUCAUUUCGAACCUUUGAGACAUGAUCUCUGCAAAUUCCUUGCUCAGUUUCUCAUUUGGAGAGCCAAAAAUGAUGUCAUCGACAUAGAUUUGAACAAGAACCAUGUCUGAGCCUUUGUUUUUGAUGAAGAGAGUAUUGUCGAUUGCUCCUCGUCUGUAUCCAUUUUCAAGCAGAUACGAUGUCAGCGUCUCAUACCAAGCCCUGGGAGCUUGCUUCAGUCCAUAAACAGCUUUGUCUAAUCGGUACACGUAAUCAGGAUGAUCUUUGUCCACAAAGCCUGGGGGCUGAUUUAGGAAUACUUCUUCUUCUAACACACCAUGAAGAAAUGCUGUUUUCACAUCCAUCUGAUAGACAAUGAAAUUCAUGUAGGAUGCGUAUGCGAGAAACAGUCUGAUUGCUUCAAUGCGAGCAACUGGAGCAAAGGUUUCCCCGUAGUCGAUGGAUUCAAUUUGAGUAAACCCUUGAGCGACAAGCCUUGCCUUGUUGCGAGUAAUGAUUCCAUCUUUAUCAACCUUGUUGCGAUAGACCCAGCGAGUUCCGGUGAUAGUCUUUCCUAAUGGUCUUGGGACAAGAGUCCAAACAUUGUGCCUUUNCAUUCAGUUCUUCUUGCAUGGCUUUAAUCCAGUCAGCAUCUUGAAGAGCUGUGUGUAUCUUGUCAGGUAAGAUCAUUGAAAUGAAGUUAACAUACAUGCAAAAGUUAUUAGAUACACGAGAUCUGGUACGGACACCAUCAUGAAUAUUCCCUAUAAUUUGAUCAACAGGAUGAUAUCGAUGUUUAGAGACUGAUGCUGAUUCCAGAGAAUUUGACACUGACAAGUUAUCAGUUACAGGAGAGUCUUCAGCUUCAAGGAUUUCAUUAGCACCUAAUGAAUUAUCUGCUGAUCUGGCUGCAAUAUCUUGAUUUAAGGAACAUGGAACUGGAACGAUAGAAUCAGAAGAAUCAGCUUCAUCUCCAGCAGGAGGGACUUCGUCAAAUGGACAAGAGAGAAGCUCUUGAAAAAUAGAAGAAGAAUGAGUGACUUUUUCAUCAGUGUAUGAUUCCUCAUCAAACUUCACAUGAAUGGAUUCUUCAAUGCAUUGCCUGUUCACAUGAAAAACACGAAAAGCCUUUGAAAUAGAUGAGUACCCAACAAAAAUACCUUUAUCAGCCUUAGGUUCAAACUUGGAUCUUGGGUCACGCUGAUUUAGAAUAUAACAAAUACAUCCGAACACGUGAAAAAAGGAUACGUCUGGCUUUCGAUCUUUCAGCAUUUCAUAUGGUGUCUUCUUGUGAAUCCUGUGAAUUAGAGAUCGAUUCUGAGUAAAGCACGUUGUAUUGACAGCUUCAGCCCAAAACGACAUAGGAAGACCAGCAUGGAUCAUCAGGGUCCUUCCUGCCUCAAUCAGUGUUCUAUUUCUUCGUUCAGCAACUCCAUUUUGUUGAGGAGUACGAGGAGCUGAGAAGUUUUGCCCAAUGCCUUUAUGAUCACAAAAUUCUUCAAGAGUUGAAUUUCGGAACUCAGUACCAUGAUCACUUCUUAGUUGCUUAACUUUGAGACCUGUCAGUGUCUCAUUUUUACGAAUCAGUGAAAUAAUUUCCUGUGCAGCAUGACUUUUCUUCUUCAGGAAAACCACCCAUGUAAAUCGAGUGAACUCAUCCACAACCACUAGAGUAUACUUAUUUCCACCUAGAGAACGGACAGGAAUAGGUCCAAACAAGUCCAUGUGGAGUAAAUGAAGAGGGACUGAUAUACUGGAACAUGACUUGGGUUUGAAAGAGGACUUGGUUUGUUUUCCUUGUUCACAAGCUGAGCACAUCUUGUCUUUCACAACGCUGAAUUUUGGGAGCCCUCUAACUAGAUCUUGAUUGGAUAUUUUGGAUAGGUUCUUGAAGUUCAGAUGAGAGAACCUUUUGUGCCAAAUCCAGCUAAGAUUCGUCUGAGACUUUGUAAAGAAGCAUUGCAUCAGUGCCUUGUCACUCGAGAACAUGUCAAGAACAUAUAUAUCAUCUUUUCUACUUGCUGAAAGUACGAUGUUCUUGUCAGUGUUGACAACUCUGCCUUCCUUCUUUGUAAAGUGAACUUCAUAGUCAGCAUCACACAAUUGACUGAUGGAGAUAAGGUUGUGUUUGAGACCCUUUACAUAUGAAACAUUUUGAAAAACCACGUUAUUGCAUUUGAUAUUUCCAUAUCCUUUAGUGAACCCCUUUCCAUUGUCUCCAUAAGUUACUGCAGGACCAGUUUUCUUGACAUAAUCUUCCAGGAGAGACUUUGAUCCUGUCAUAUGCCUUGAGCAACCACUAUCUAAGUACCAAAGAUGCUCCUGACCCUGCAGUGCUGAGAAACUAGUUAGAACACACUGACCCAUUCGAGGAUGGGUCAUUCACAAAGUUAUUUGAUAAUAGAUUAUAACACUCCUUAGGAAGACAGUUUAAAGAAUUUGACUUAAGAGUCCAUUUUUCAUUUCUAACUUUAAUAUUAUCAGCUCUUAAAGAUGAUUUAUCAAAUGAACAUUCACUAAUCUUAUGAGAGGUAUCACCACAUCUGUAACAAACUCUAGUACCAAAGUUCCUCUUGGUGAGCAAUUUUUUUGAAUUAACACAUUUUGACUUGUAAGAUUCACCAAGAGAGCUUUGUGUCCUUUUGUUCAUUAUUGAAUCACAACUGAAUUCAGUGUCAGACAGAUUAUGAUCAGUGAUAGACGAUGAGCUAUCAUCAGUGUCUGGUUUGGACUUGUUCACAAUUGCAUUGCAGUCAGGAAAAUGCUUAAGUUGUUCAUGAACAGCAUGAAACACUCCAUUUGAGAUAGGAAAGGCAAUAAUAUUCUCAGUGAGUGGAGUUGGUCUUACAAGAUGUGCAGGGUAAGAGGUUGGAUCAAUUCCGGUAAUUUCAACAUUACACUCAGUAAUACCAUCAGAAUUAGUAAUACAACAUUCAUCAAUUAAACUCUGAUUAAUAAAAGAGUUACUGACAAACUUAUUUUUGAAAUUGUUUUUCAUCUCAUUCAUUAAAUAAAACUCAGAUUCCUUUUCUUGUGACUUAAAAACUUUUUCAGCUUCUGCAAAAUUACCCCCAAGAAUUUUCUCACAUGAAUGUGGAAUUUGAGCAGAAAUAAUAUAAUUUGCAUUCUUAUGAGAUUUUGCCCAAGUAUGAAGCACAAUUUGUUCUUUGAUCAAAAUAUUUUUAACAUUGUCAAUUUCAGCAGACAAAGAUGAAUUUGACAAACUAGUGAUUCUAAGAUUUUGCUGAGUGGACUCAAUAAUGUUAUUUUUCAUGGAUAUAUCUGUUUCAAGAAGAUCAAUUUGAUUUUGCAAAUCUCUUAUUGUUUGAUUCUUCUUAGAAUUGAUGACGCCCAAAUACUCAAACAUUUUGAUUUUUUCAUUCAUUGAAUAGGAAACAAAGUUUUUAACCUGGUACAUUGAAGAAGAGUCAGUGUUGUGCUUCCUGGAAUUUUCAACAGCAUCAGACAUAUCAGCAUCAAAUGUACUUUUGCCUUUUUCAGAAACAUCCGUGUCUUCUAUCUUUACCAUUAGACACUUGACUUCAUCAUCUGAUGACUCCUCAUCAGUCUUCCAUUUUUCUUCUUCAGCAACAAGCACUUUAUGUUCCAAGUUCUCUGCUUUCAGCUUCUCAAUCAGCUUGUUGUACUUCUGCUUCCAGUAUUCAUCUGAGCCUUGUUUCUUUUGUUUACACUCCUUUGCAAAAUGAUCAGUGCUCCCACAGUUAAAGCACUGAGCCUUCUCUUUCUUAUCAGUACCAUGCCUUUUAUCAGCUUCUGAUCUUUUUGAAAACUUUCCACCCAUCUUCUUUUGAAACUUUGAGAAGUUUCGACCUGAUUUCUCAAAAGUCUUUACAAUCAAAGCUGCACUAGCCACAACUUUUUCAAGAUCAUCAGUGUCAGUUUUAGAGGAAUCAGUAUCUGAAUUGCUUUCAGUGUCUGAAUCUGACACUAGCUUUUUGUUUGAGAACAAAGCUACAGAUGAUUCACGCUGAGAAUCUUUCAUCAGUUCCUUUCUUUGAAGCUUAGAUUCUUCAUAGUAUCGAAGAUUUCCAUAGAGACUUUGUAAGUCCAUAGAGUUGAUCUUCUCACUAUUUUUCAGCACAUCAACAUGAUUCUCCCAACCUGCACCCAGAGAAUCCAAAAACUUCUGCACUAGAACAGUUCUAUGCUUCAACUGAUCUAGUCUCCGAAGAUCAUUAACAAGAGUAUUGAAUCUGUUAAAGGUUUGAGUCAAGGUUUCACCUUUCUUAGCAAAAAAAUGUUCAUACCUUCGGUUAAGAUCAUUUAUUUGAGUAGCCUUGACUUCUUCAGUGCCUUCAAAAGAUACAGUCAGAGUAUCCAUCAUCUCUUUUGCUGAGAUGCAAUUUUGAACUAGCCCAAAAAUGUUGUAUGGCAGAGCGUAGCUGAUUGCGGCACGAGCACGAACAUCUAAACCAUUUUUUCUUUUGUCAUCUGCCAUCCAGUUUUCUCUAGGUGUUUUCUUCAUGGCACCAUCAGGAACGUUGUUUUUCAGAGGCUGAUACAUUGGGACAUAUGGACCCUUUUCGACAAUGUCCAACAUGUCUUCAUCUACUGACUCUAAAGCAUAUCGAGCCUUUAUUUUCCACAUAGAAAAGUUUGUUUCAUCAAAAGGAGGAAUUUUAGCGGAAGGAUGAUUUGAUGAGUUCGACGAAGAAGAAGAUGAAGCCAUUUGUUUGAUAAGAGAAACCUGCUCUGAUACCAAUUGAAGAGGCUUUUAGAUCAAUCAAUAUAUCAAACAAUAACAGUAAAUGAGAACAAGAGGAAUUCACGAAGAAAAACUUUCACUAAGAAAGAUAAUCUCACAAAGAGAUUAUCGUGUGCACAAAGCAGCGAUUAGGGUUUGUGAAAGGCGUAACCAUUCACAAACCUAUACAAAAGAUUAUAUACUGCUAUUCUAGACAAUCCCUACAAAUCAGGGAUAUGCCAGCUAACUAAUUUACGCUAACUAUAGAAACAAGAUAAAUACAAAAUCUGUUACAAUGCACUGAAUAAACUAAACACGCUGAGCUGCUUAAACGCUGAUGCUGAUACUGAGAUAUACGCUGAAGCUGAGGUCUGUUUUAAACAUUAUCAUAUUUCAAGGUUUGACCUUACACCCUAGCCACCUUGGCUCGCUUACACCUCGUGUACGCAUAGGUACGCCCAUUGUAGGUAGGGGACGCCUCGACUUUGUGCAUGCCUGGGAGUACGUUGUGCGUACCUUAUGUACGCCCAGCGUACUCGGGGAUAAUCUACGGGUAAUAAGAAUUUUAAUGGAAGAGUUUUACUUGGCGAAUCCUGAUGUUACAAAAUCCAGCAUUGCAGUCGAUGAUGGCUAUUAUUUAUUGCAAUCGAAAUUCCCGUCUGAAACCUAUAUUCAAAAGCCGCAACCAAAUCCACCACCAACAUGCCACCUCCCACCCCUUUGUAUGAUCGACAACCACCCAACUUCUUAUACAUUCAUUCACUUUCAUCUCCCAGCAGUUCCCCCACCCACCUUUAUAUAAACCAUUAUUGGGAACGACUUGCUCAUUCUCAUAUACAAGUCACUUGCGUUCUUUCUCAAAACUAAACAUUCAUGUCAAUUUUGACUUUAAAGUCAAAAUUGGAGAUGAAGCAUGAACGAAACCUAAUUUCAUUUGUAAAAGGUGUCCAAACAUGAAUGAAAUACUUUAAUUUUAGGAUAUGCAUACGACCAUUACAACAAUUAUACCUGAUCUUUUCCAUCUGGAAGUGGCUGAGCAACAAAAUUUGGGAUCUCAUCCAAGAACAAUCAACUGUUCCGGUGGUCGAUUUGUCAAGCAAGGAACGAGUACCUCUGGUGCCCUCACUGGUUCAUGAGAGGGAUGAAGAAACAAAAGUAGCAAGGACUGUUGAAGAAGCUCAUGUGCUUCUUUUGUCUCGGAAAUAAAUGAGAAGGCGAGGGGGAGAGAUGGUACGAUGGAAGCAGGGCAACAACAACAAAACAGGUGGGUGUUUGGAUGCUAUGGAGUCGGAGAAAAAAGAAGAGAAGGUGCGAGGGGGUUGUUGCCCUUUUGUCUAUUGUAAAAUCUCCACCUUCGGUGGGGUUUUCUUUGAAUGAAACUAAACAUAAAAAGGGAUGAACUGGACAACGAAUUUUGGGGGUGUCUUGCUGCUUUGCUCGACAUAAAAAGGAAAAAGGAGGGGCGAGGGGUUGUUGCUCCUCUGUUUACCAAAAAAAACCACAAGAACACCACUUCCAAUGGAGGUGUUUUUGGUUGCCUAUCGAAGAAGAGAGAGAGAGAGAGAGAGAGAGAGGGAGGGAGAGAGAGAGAGAGAGAGAGAGAGAAAGAAAGAAAGAGAGAGAGAGAGAGAUAAACCUCUUUUAUUUUUAAUUAUUAAAAUAAAUAAAUAGGUAUUAAUUUUUUUUAAAAAGAAAGGGGAUAUAUUUUUUUCAGGUGCAAAAAUGGUCCCUAAAAGGUGAAAAGACAAAUAUACCCUCAUAUGGGAGGCACAUGAAGGGGUUAACAACAACAAUUAAUGGGGGUUAAGUCGGGGGACCAUUUUUACAUACAAACUAGGCCAAAAGGACCAUGAAGUCAAAAAAAAUCAAAGUCUGGACUAAAUCUCGAAAAAAAAUGCAUACCACAUGGGACCAUUUUUGCAAUUUUGUCUUUAAACUAUGUCAAAUAACAAAGUUGACAUGUACUCAUGUUUUUCACUAAAAACUAGUAUUUUUCAUUAAAACCAUUAUAAAUAUUUGAAUUAACUUUAUAAUAAUUAAUAGUACUAAUUGGCAAAACUGCCCUUUUCUAAAAACAUACCGACAUGACAACAAAUUAAGAAACAUGCUAUAACCAAUAGAAAUGGCAAAAAAUACAUUAGAAUAUGAUACUAUUUAAAGUUAUUUAUAACUAGUGAGUGAUCUCGUAGUGAACCAUGUGUCACUUUUUUAAUUGGGUUUUUAUCAUCGGUUAUUAAUAUAGAUAUGCACAACAUGUUUCAAGCAAUGAUUGAGCACCUCCAACACAUGGGCGACGUUAUGGAGGCAGUCCAUGCGAAGCUCAAGGAAGGAUACGUCAUAAAAAUUGAUUUCCUCUGAAUUAUCUGCACAAGGCUGACAUAUGUGAAUUAUGUAAUCUGAAAUGAAAAAGGUGAAGAUGUGUCCAAUCAGGACGAUAUUGCAUUUAUGCAAAAGUGUAUCCUCAGGAGGAUCGUCAUGUUGAAGCAUAUGAUGGAGACUCAACAUGUCAACUGACUUAGUUUUCUUCUAUCAUUUGUUCACUUGUAUGAAUAUAUCAGUCUCUUUUGGCGGCUAUAACAGAUUUAACAAAAAUUUCAACAAAAACCUUAUGUAAAACUUAAUGAAAAUGUACUUUUUGGUAAAACUUGGCAACCAAAGAAAAAAAAAUAGCAACGUACUUUUGUUGAUAUAUUUUACAUUGAACCAUACUUUCAUUUCUUCUAUUACCUACAAAAUAUGAUGUCCGCAUAAUGCCCCUCCUUGCCACAUUUAUGGCACCCAAAAUAAGAUCGAAAAACAUGCACCCUCAUAAACCUUGCCGCACUAGCCACACAUACGACCCCUCUGUCCCCCAAAUCAUGAAUCAACAGUCUUGAACCACUUCAUUGUAGGAUGUGACUAAACGAGAGCCUGCCUCUGCUCUCUCGUCUGAGUCUUAAUCUCAAUCACCCAUCUCCACGCGACAUCCUCAAGCUCCGAGAGGGUAAUAUAGCAUUGGGUAGACACAAACUGCCGAAUGUUAGUCUUGAUUAUGCUUCAGUAUUGCGUCAUCUGGGCUAGCUCCAAAGUAGCAAACUCAAGACAGAAUAGAGCCCUCUUAGUGAACAUCUUGGUGAUCUCUGUCACCGCCUCCGUCAUUUGUCGCAAAUCCAGGUACUCCUAAGCCAAUCUCUCUAUCUCCACCAGGGGAACAUACCUCGUGGGAAACAUAUCCGAGAAUUGCUCCCAAGUAAUAGCAACCCUCUGCUCAGGAGUAUAAGAACCGCUCACCAGUUUCCACCAGUCCUUCGUGCCCAACCAGAAGGUUUAGGGUGCACCUGACCUUCCAGUCCUCCAGACAAGAAUAGGUGAAGAAGCAACCCUCCACAUAAAAAAUCCAUCUAAUAGCCACAAUCGGGUCCUUGAUCCCGUCAAAUGUGUUGUUGAAGUCCCGAUACUAGAAUGAUGCUCUUUCCUGAACCCCUGCAGUAGUGUUAUCAACAGCAACCUCAACCACAACAACGUACCGCUCAUCAAACAGCUCAAUCAUAGCUGUCCAGAUAGACCCAAAAACCUUGGGGAUGGCACCCCGGACAGCAUCAGCCACCUUAGUAACUAUCAAAUCAUGGAUUUCGUCAUCUAAAAAUAUAUAAGAAAUGCCACAAUUCAUAGAAAGGCCACCAGCUCCAGAACCAGAUCCUCCUGUGUACUCUAUACUGAAAAUGAUCCAAAAAUAUGUCAGAAAUGCCACAAUUCAUGCUCUUACAAUCAUCACGCAAAGACUAAAUCCUUGGGGUUCGUGACAUCCUUGCUACACAUACAUAUCUUGUGUUUCCAGUAGUAUGGGUCGAUACUACCUUCCACACCUACCUGUAUUUGUCUCAAUGGAUCAUCGCAAACUACCCGAAAACAAACCCAAUAAUCACGAUACGCAUACAUCCUAUGCUCACUCUCUCAAGAGUGGCUAAUCACUUUUCAAGCUGGCCUACUACACUCAUGAAACUUCCACCAACUCUGUAGCCGCUCGUGCAUGCUAAUCAUACAUAACAUUGGAUUCCAUAGACAAUCGAAUACUUGAUUCUACCAUGAGCCCACAACCAGACAUGAAACAAGAAAUAAGGCUAAAUUAAACAUUCUUAGUCUAUAAAAUCUUAGUUAUGUACAACUAUGAUGCACACACUAAGAAACUAUAGUAAUGAUGUCAAUUCCAUCUAGCAUACAAGGGAUUAUCCUAGGUUAUUAGGCAUCACACAUCAGGUAAUUCUAUCACACAAUUCAUGAGGAUCCGUAGCCUACAACUAGCAUGCAGUUCUAUUAUAAUCAUCAUAAGCAAAUAAUAGUGUAUGUAUCUUGGGGCAUACUUUCUUGCUCCGGCUGAUCAUACACAUCUCAUCCUUCUUAGGUUAGCUUUGAAAACAAUUUUUAAAACUUACAGAUCCAUAGUUUGAGUUUGGAUUCAAACGAAUGCUCAUCCAAUUCGCUCAAACUAUGGCUCUUAUACCAACUUGUAACAAAUAAUGAUAAUUUUUUAUCUUUUUAAUUUAAUUAAACCCAUUGCUUCAAUCAAAGACCCAUGUCAAAGUGUCAAAUACAAAUUUCUAAAAAUAAAUGUAUCAUAAAAUCUCCAAAACAUGUCACUGAAGGAUGUGUACGAUCACGCCUUCACCUUGUCCCGAUUAUCUGAAGUACCUAAAACAUAACACUUAAACUAUAAGCCAAAUCUUAGUGAGUUCCCUAAAAUACCACUACACAAACAUAUAACAGCAUGCAUAUUGGGUUAACAACCAUCGGACUUGAUUACCUAGGAGCCCAUAGCGUGAGUUUGGCUUGCCUUUCUGGCCUAAAGCUCAUGUUGGAUUUCUCCCGAGCCCGCAACAUAAGUCUGGCUUGCCCUCUAUGGCCUACAUCUUAUUUAUGGCUUGCUCUCGGGUUUGUUGGCUUCCACACAAAGUAGUAUUUCCUCAACCCAACCACACUACGUCGACAUAUGCAAUAGAUAAAACAUAUAACAGUAAACAGAUAAUCAUGCAGAUCUGAACAGAUCACUACAAAAUAGUAACAUCCUAAAGCAGGAUAACUAUCUACCGGGUCGACAUUGGUGCCUUCAACCCACAAGUACAGUGAGGAAACUCACCUCACAGUCUGAAAUGUAGCCAGACAAAUCACAGCUCCAACUGCUGACUCUACAUGUCACCUAUACAACAAACGGUGGCCUAAUCUCAAACUAUUUCUCAAAUACCCUAAUACCCAUAAGUUAAAUGGUCAAAUCCUGGUCAAAGUCAAUGUUUAAAAGUCAAAGAUCCACUUGAGAUGAGUACACCAUGUGUACUCCCCUCUACGCCCAGCGUAGAAGGCACCUCUAAAAAUAUGGGUUCCAAACCUGGUACACGCAGCGUACCUCCAGCAACGCCCAACAUAGCAUCGCUGAAUCCCCAUUUCACCAUUAAGUCCUUAUUUCGUUAAGCCAAAGCAGCAAAAUUUAGAUCCACAUAAAUAGGGGCGUCUUAAUGGAUAAAGUCUCUAGUUUUAUUCAUUUGCAUGCAUACAAGGGGGUAUAAACUCAAACCCUUAGUCCAAAAGUCAUUUAAAGCUCCAAAACUCUUGCAUGGCUUAAUGAGAGUGCCCAGGCUCUAAUUUUUAUGAAUCCGUGAGCUUAAAAACUACAGAAACUACAUUUCAAGUACCUACAGUAGCUCAUACUCCACUAGACCAAACCUAUGGGACCAAAAAUAUACACAAACUCUAUACUAUCAAAAUCUAAGCAAAUAAUUUAUCAAGUUCCAAGAUUUAUACCUUCAAAUGAUGCUUAAUGGUGAGAUACUUCUGGAUCUAGGUUGCCUUGAGCUUCCAAGGUGAUUCCACUAUCUUCUCAUUCCUUCAAGAACACCAAAUAUACACUCUCAAUCUCAAAAAUACACACACAAUGGAUUAGGGUUUGCAAAGGAUGAUUUAGGAGAUGGAGGUUGAUGAUAGGAAAGGUCUUGAAGAGAUAAUGAUGUUUAAAUAAGGCUCAAACCCUAAAAAUUAGAGUGUGCACCCUAGCUACGUACGUCCAACGUACGCCUAGCGUACGCAUGAAAACACUUAUUCCUUUUAAGUGAUCUAUGUCAUGCAUAUGCCCCCAAGUACGCAUGGCGUAAGGACCAAUUUUGCAUAAUACUUUCACUUAGGUUUAAAAAUAGAAAUUUUCUAGAUAUCGGGGUGUUACAAAGACUACAAUUGUUCCAUGACAUCCAUCCGAUAACUGCCAAACUAAAGGUGUUGGAUCCAAAACCGUCCCAUCUUCUCUCCGUGGACAAUAAGCGUUUAUAUGGGCUAGCUAACUGCAAAAGAAACAUACCCUCGACUCCCUCUAACUACAGUCCCAACUGUAGUGAACCUCUUGACCGCACUCAAAAUAACCAUAAAUCAACGUAUAACAAAUACCGGCGUGUACCAAAACCAAACCUGCCAUAAAAUUUGUAACACCGUGAAUUUCAAAAUAAUUUUUCGCAUAAUAUAAAAACAUUUUCAUUUAAUUUUCAUAAAAACAUCAAUGUUUAAAACUCCAAUCCAUAUCAUACAAAAAUCCCAAGAUCACAUAUCAUAAAAAUCCCAUAUGUGUGUACAGAUCAAGCCGGCGCCCUCCCACGGUCAUCACUAGUACCUGAAACAACAACACUAACGCUGUAAGCACAAAGCUUAGUGAGUUCCCCAAAAUACCACACAUAACACAUAUUAGCCACUCGAGGCUAUAACUCUAUGGGUCCGUAAACCCUACUCUGUGAACCCACUGGUUCUAACUCUGGGAACCUUCCGGUUCCAACUCUAUAAACAUGCACAGCACAAAUCACAUAGAAAUAAUGCAGUACAACACAUAACAUACAUAUAGCAUACAAAUACUCUGUCACAUAACUCUGAUUACCUACUCAAGGUAAAGUAUAGUGAGAAGACUCACCUCGCGUAUCUCGAUAACUCGCAAACCCCGGAAAUCACUCGCGCUCGAUCCUCCGAGCUAUAAUCCUCCUAUAACACAAUAUAUCUCUAAUUAACACUUUCUCAACUAAGGUUGACUACCCCUAUCAAGUCAACACUGGUCAACUCUGGUCAACGGUCAACUUUGACCGGACUCGGCGAGUGCACUAGAGCGACUCGGCGAGUCUAUACGUGUUCACUGACUCCCUAGGAUCCUCUCUUGACACGUCGAGUACUUCCCUGACUCGACGAGUUCCACCUGGCAUGAAUCGUGGGGCCACCACGACUCAACUCGCCGAGUCUCAAGAACAACUCGGCGAGUUCCAGCUUGACUCAGUCCACCUGUCAACCCUCUCUGACUCUCCCUGACUCACUGAGUCAACCCUUAACUCGGUAAGACCACUCGCUGAGUGGUUAUGGACAAUCUUCAUGCUACUCGCCGAGUCUGUUCUUCGGACUCGGCGAGUCCAUGCCAUGCAUCAACUCAAUCUCGCUUCUGAGGUCAGAUCCGCUCCAACAACUCAUAGAUCUAGCCCUCCCAAGCACAUUCAUCACGUAAAGUCACAAUCUUGGCUACCAUGCAACGCCUACAAGGCUUCUUUUGAUGAAAUGACAUCUAAAAUGGUAACCUAAGUCUCCAACUCAAAAGGAAAGGCAUAAAGCAUGGCAUUUGGGACUCUCUGGACCUACUAAGGUCCAGAUCUAGGUACCAUAUCCCCAUGGGACCUCUCACACUCCAAAUACAAGGCAAACAAGGCAUGAAGAAACCCUAGAUUUGACCAUAACAACAAAAACACGAGAAUAAGCUCUGAAUGAUACCUCAAGAAGCUUCCUCUGACGAAAUGGAAGUAGAUCCAAGCUCCCCAACUCUCCUAGCUUGGCCUUCCUCUUCCUUUCUUGCAAAUACACACAAAAAUGGUGAAUAAUGGCCUCUUAUCUCACUCACAAGGACUCUCAGCUGCUCUGGUGCUCUCAAGGUCGAAGGUAGCCGCAAUGAAGGGUUAUAAGGUCCUUUAAAUAGGGCUCAGGGCCGGGAAAUUAGGGUUUCAUUAAACAGCGUGGACUCGCCGAGUCCGGACGCGAACCCGCGUCCAAAUCCGCGAUCAUACUCGGCGAGUCUAGGCUCCAACUCGCCGAGUCUCCUCACAAAUUACCAAAAAUAAAUAAAUGAAUAAUACCUGGGAAUCCGGGCUGUUACAAUUCUCCCCCACUAGAACUAGACUUCGCCCUCGAAGUCUCGCUCUGCAAAUAACUCUGGAUGCUGCUCACGCAUCUCACGCUCCGGUUCCCAAGUCAUCUCGGACCCCUUCCGAUGCUGCCACUGAACCAAAACCAGGGGUACCUCCUUGUUCCUCAGAACCUUGAUUUUCCGAUCUCUGAUGGCCACUGGUCUCUCGGCAUAAUUCAGGCUCGCAUCCACCUGAAUAUCCUCUAAUGGAACCACUGCCGACUCAUCGGCUAUACACUUCCUCAGCUGCGACACAUGAAAAGUGUCGUGAAUCUGCCCCAACUCUGCUGGCAAAUCCAAACGAUAGGCUACCCGGCCUACCCUCGCGAUCACACGGAAUGGACCAAUAUAUCGGGGCCCCAACUUGCCCCUCUUCCUGAAUCGAAUCACUCCUUUCCAAGGAGAGACCUUCAGGAGUACAAGGUCGCCGACCUGAAACUCAAGCUCGGACCGGCGUCUGUCUGCAUAACUCUUCUGACGACUCUGAGCGGUCAACAACCUCUGUCUGACCUGCUGGAUCUGCUCUGUCGUCUGAAGCACGAUCUCUGUACUGCCCAUCACCCUCUGUCCAACCUCUCCCCAACAAAUGGGGGUCCGACACCUCCUCCCAUACAACAGCUCAAAGGGUGGCAUACCAAUGCUCGAAUGAUGGCUGUUGUUGUAGGAAAACUCUGCCAAGGGCAAAUAUGCAUCCCAGCUACCCCCGAAAUCCAACACACAUGCCCGGAGCAUGUCCUCGAGCGUCUGAAUCGUCCGCUCACUCUGACCGUCUGUCUGGGGAUGAUAUGCGGUACUAAAAUGCAGUCUAGUACCCAACUCCUCAUGAAACUUCUUCCAGAAUCUGGAAGUGAAACGCACAUCACGGUCUGAAACAAUCGAGAUCGGCACCCCAUGCCGAGAUACCACUUCCCUCACAUACACCUCCGCCAAUUUCUCUGCUGAAGAACUCUCGCUGAUAGCAAGGAAGUGAGCGCUCUUCGUCAACCUGUCCACAAUCACCCAAAUUGCAUCAACUCCUCUGGCAGUCCUUGGCAAUUUGGUGAUGAAAUCCAUAGUGAUCUGUUCCCACUUCCAUUCGGGAACCUCCAAUGGCUGCAACUUACCAUGCGGCCUCUGGUGCUCGGCCUUAACCCUACGGCAGGUCAAGCACCUCUCAACAAACCACGCAACAUCCCUUUUCAUACAGGCCCACCAAUACUCCUUUCUCAAGUCCAAAUACAUCUUAGUGGCCCCGGGAUGGAUUGAAAAUUUCGACCGAUGAGCCUCUUCCAUCAAAAUGGUACGCGUUUCUCCCACAAACGGCACCCAGAUACGCCCCUGAAAUGUCAUAAGCCCCCGACCAUCGGUAACGAACUCUGAAACCAAACCAACAACCCGUUCUUUCUUCUGCAUCUCAGGUUGCACAGCCUCGGCCUGUGCCCCACGAAUGGCGUCCAACACUGGAGCUAUCACGGUCAAUCUCAAACAUACAUCCCGCAGCGGGGUGCUCUCCGCCCUGCGGCUCAGUGCAUCGGCUACAACAUUAGCCUUGCCUGGGUGGUACAGGAUCUCACAAUCAUAAUCCUUGACCACAUCCAACCACCUUCUCUGUCGCAUAUUUAGGUUGGGCUGAUCCAUCAAAUAUUUCAAACUCUUAUGGUCCGUGUAUAUCGUACACCGAACCCCAUACAGGUAGUGACGCCAAAUCUUGAGGGCGAACACCACUGCCCCCAACUCUAGAUCAUGGGUGGGAUAUCUCGUCUCAUGAGGCUUCAGCUGCCUCGAUGCAUAUGCUAUCACAUGCCCUCUCUGCAUCAGCACCGCUCCCAACCCCAAAAUCGAUGCAUCACAGUAUACCACAAAGUCCUCCAUCCCUUCCGGGAGGGCUAACACCGGGGCUUCGCACAACCUUUGGCGAAGUGUCUCAAAGGAGGCCUGCUGCUCGGGGCCCCAUGAAAAAGCAACACCCUUCCGGGUCAAUCUGGUGAGUGGCACUGCGAUCUUGGAGAAAUCCUUGAUAAAUCUCCGAUAAUACCCUGCCAACCCUAGGAAACUCCUGAUCUCGGAGGGUGACUUCGGCACCUCCCAACUCAUCACUGCCUCAACCUUGGCCGGAUCGACCAAUAUCCCUUCCUGGUUAACGAGAUGUCCUAAGAACUGGACCUCCCGCAACCAGAAAUCACACUUGGAGAAUUUGGCAUAAAGCCUCUCCGAUCUCAGAACUCCGAGAACCUCUCUCAAAUGCUCCUCAUGCUGCUCUCUAGAUCUCGAAUAUACCAGAAUGUCGUCGAUAAAUACAAUCACCGACCGAUCCAGCAUCGGCCUGCACACUCGGUUCAUGAGAUCCAUGAACACUGCCGGGGCAUUGGUGAGCCCAAAAGGCAUCACCACAAACUCAUAAUGCCCAUAACGCGUCCUGAACGCUGUCUUCUGGACGUCCUCAUCUCGCACCCUCACCUGAUGAUAUCCAGACCUCAAAUCGAUCUUGGAGAACCAAGAUGCUCCCUGCAACUGAUCGAACAAAUCGUCGAUCCUCGGCAACGGGUAACGGUUCUUGACCGUCAGCUUGUUCAACUCCCGGUAGUCAAUGCACAUCCGGUGUGAACCAUCCUUCUUCUUGACGAACAGGAUAGGCGCUCCCCAUGGCAAGCUGCUCGGCCAAAUAAACCUCUUUCCCAGCAGCUCCUGAAGCUGCGAGGAUAACUCUUGCAUCUCUGGAGGUGCAAGGCGAUAAGGCACCUUAGCGAUAGGCGCGGCCCCCGGAACCAAAUCGAUACUGAACUCCACUUGCCUCACAGGAGGCACACCCGGCAACUCCUCGGGAAAUACAUCCGGGAACUCACGCACCACCGGAACCUCCUCAACUGAACUCGGCCUCUCGGAAUCCACCCGCGUAUCCAUCACAUACGCCACAAAACCCUUACAGCCCUGCUGUAGACACUGCCUCGCCCUAGCGGCCGAACAAAACGCUGAUCCUGAACGUGUACCCUCGCCGUACACCGAAAGAACUCCCCCACUAGGGUCUCGUAUGGUCACCANNNNNNNNNNNNNNNNNNNNNNNNNNNNNNNNNNNNNNNNNNNNNNNNNNNNNNNNNNNNNNNNNNNNNNNNNNNNNNNNNNNNNNNNNNNNNNNNNNNNNNNNNNNNNNNNNNNNNNNNNNNNNNNNNNNNNNNNNNNNNNNNNNNNNNNNNNNNNNNNNNNNNNNNNNNNNNNNNNNNNNNNNNNNNNNNNNNNNNNNNNNNNNNNNNNNNNNNNNNNNNNNNNNNNNNNNNNNNNNNNNNNNNNNNNNNNNNNNNNNNNNNNNNNNNNNNNNNNNNNNNNNNNNNNNNNNNNNNNNNNNNNNNNNNNNNNNNNNNNNNNNNNNNNNNNNNNNNNNNNNNNNNNNNNNNNNNNNNNNNNNNNNNNNNNNNNNNNNNNNNNNNNNNNNNNNNNNNNNNNNNNNNNNNNNNNNNNNNNNNNNNNNNNNNNNNNNNNNNNNNNNNNNNNNNNNNNNNNNNNNNNNNNNNNNNNNNNNNNNNNNNNNNNNNNNNNNNNNNNNNNNNNNNNNNNNNNNNNNNNNNNNNNNNNNNNNNNNNNNNNNNNNNNNNNNNNNNNNNNNNNNNNNNNNNNNNNNNNNNNNNNNNNNNNNNNNNNNNNNNNNNNNNNNNNNNNNNNNNNNNNNNNNNNNNNNNNNNNNNNNNNNNNNNNNNNNNNNNNNNNNNNNNNNNNNNNNNNNNNNNNNNNNNNNNNNNNNNNNNNNNNNNNNNNNNNNNNNNNNNNNNNNNNNNNNNNNNNNNNNNNNNNNNNNNNNNNNNNNNNNNNNNNNNNNNNNNNNNNNNNNNNNNNNNNNNNNNNNNNNNNNNNNNNNNNNNNNNNNNNNNNNNNNNNNNNNNNNNNNNNNNNNNNNNNNNNNNNNNNNNNNNNNNNNNNNNNNNNNNNNNNNNNNNNNNNNNNNNNNNNNNNNNNNNNNNNNNNNNNNNNNNNNNNNNNNNNNNNNNNNNNNNNNNNNNNNNNNNNNNNNNNNNNNNNNNNNNNNNNNNNNNNNNNNNNNNNNNNNNNNNNNNNNNNNNNNNNNNNNNNNNNNNNNNNNNNNNNNNNNNNNNNNNNNNNNNNNNNNNNNNNNNNNNNNNNNNNNNNNNNNNNNNNNNNNNNNNNNNNNNNNNNNNNNNNNNNNNNNNNNNNNNNNNNNNNNNNNNNNNNNNNNNNNNNNNNNNNNNNNNNNNNNNNNNNNNNNNNNNNNNNNNNNNNNNNNNNNNNNNNNNNNNNNNNNNNNNNNNNNNNNNNNNNNNNNNNNNNNNNNNNNNNNNNNNNNNNNNNNNNNNNNNNNNNNNNNNNNNNNNNNNNNNNNNNNNNNNNNNNNNNNNNNNNNNNNNNNNNNNNNNNNNNNNNNNNNNNNNNNNNNNNNNNNNNNNNNNNNNNNNNNNNNNNNNNNNNNNNNNNNNNNNNNNNNNNNNNNNNNNNNNNNNNNNNNNNNNNNNNNNNNNNNNNNNNNNNNNNNNNNNNNNNNNNNNNNNNNNNNNNNNNNNNNNNNNNNNNNNNNNNNNNNNNNNNNNNNNNNNNNNNNNNNNNNNNNNNNNNNNNNNNNNNNNNNNNNNNNNNNNNNNNNNNNNNNNNNNNNNNNNNNNNNNNNNNNNNNNNNNNNNNNNNNNNNNNNNNNNNNNNNNNNNNNNNNNNNNNNNNNNNNNNNNNNNNNNNNNNNNNNNNNNNNNNNNNNNNNNNNNNNNNNNNNNNNNNNNNNNNNNNNNNNNNNNNNNNNNNNNNNNNNNNNNNNNNNNNNNNNNNNNNNNNNNNNNNNNNNNNNNNNNNNNNNNNNNNNNNNNNNNNNNNNNNNNNNNNNNNNNNNNNNNNNNNNNNNNNNNNNNNNNNNNNNNNNNNNNNNNNNNNNNNNNNNNNNNNNNNNNNNNNNNNNNNNNNNNNNNNNNNNNNNNNNNNNNNNNNNNNNNNNNNNNNNNNNNNNNNNNNNNNNNNNNNNNNNNNNNNNNNNNNNNNNNNNNNNNNNNNNNNNNNNNNNNNNNNNNNNNNNNNNNNNNNNNNNNNNNNNNNNNNNNNNNNNNNNNNNNNNNNNNNNNNNNNNNNNNNNNNNNNNNNNNNNNNNNNNNNNNNNNNNNNNNNNNNNNNNNNNNNNNNNNNNNNNNNNCUGUAAGCACAAAGCUUAGUGAGUUCCCCAAAAUACCACACAUAACACAUAUUAGCCACUCGAGGCUAUAACUCUAUGGGUCCGUAAACCCUACUCUGUGAACCCACUGGUUCUAACUCUGGGAACCUUCCGGUUCCAACUCUAUAAACAUGCACAGCAUAAAUCACAUAGAAAUAAUGCAGUACAACACAUAACAUACAUAUAGCAUACAAAUACUCUGUCACAUAACUCUGGUUACCUACUCAAGGUAAAGUAUAGUGAGAAGACUCACCUCACGUAUCUCGAUAACUCGCAAAUCCCGGAAAUCACUCGCGCUCGAUCCUCCGAGCUAUAAUCCUCCUAUAACACAAUAUAUCUCUAAUUAACACUUUCUCAACUAAGGUUGACUACCCCUAUCAAGUCAACACUGGUCAACUCUGGUCAACGGUCAACUUUGACCGGACUCGGCGAGUGCACUAGAGCGACUCGGCGAGUCUAUACGUGCUCACUGACUCCCUAGGAUCCUCUUUUGAUACGUCGAGUACUUCCCUGACUCGACGAGUUCCACCUGACAUGAAUCGCGGGGCCACCACGACUCAACUCGCCGAGUCUCAAGAACAACUCGGCGAGUUCCAGCUCGACUCAGUUCAUCUGUCAACCCUCUUUAACUCUCCCUGACUCACUGAGUCAACCCCUUAACUCAGCAAGACCACUCGCUGAGUGGUUAAGGACAAUCUUCAUGUUACUCGCCGGGUCUGUUCUUUAGACUCGGCGAGUCCAUGCCAUGCAUCAACUCAAACUCGCUCCUGAGGUCAGAUCCGCUCCAACAACUCAUAGAUCUAGUCCUCCCAAGCACAUUCAUCACGUAAAGUUACAAUCUUGGCUACCAUGCAAUGCCUACAAGGCUCCUUAUGGUGAAAUGACCUCUAAAAUGGUAACCUAAGUCCCUAACUCAAAAGGAAAGGCAUAAAGCAGGGCAUUUGGGACUCUCUGGACCUAAUAAGGUCCAGAUCUAGGCACCAUUUCCCCAAGGGACCUCUCACACUCCAAAUACAAGGCAAACAAGGCAUGAAGAAACCCUAGAUUUGGCCAUAUCAACAAAAGCACGAGAAUAAGCUCUGAAUGUUACCUCAAAUAGCUUCCUCUGUCGAAAUGGAAGUAGAUCCAAGCUCCCCAACUCUCCUAGCUUGACCUUCCUCUUCCUUUCUUGCAAACACACACAAAAAUGGUGAAUAAUGGCCUCUUAUCUCACUCACAAGGACUCUCAGCUGCUCUGGUGCUCUCAAGGUCGAAGGUAGCCGCAAUUAAGGGGUAUAAGGUCCUUUAAAUAGGGCUCAAGGCCGGGAAAUUAGGGUUUCAUUAAACAGCGUGGACUCGCCGAGUCCGGACGUGAACCCGCGUCCAAAUUCGCGAUCAUACUCGGCGAGUCUAGGCUCCAACUUGCCGAGUCUCCUCACAAUUUACCAAAAAUAAAUAAAUGAAUAAUACCUGGGAAUCCGGGCUGUUACAAAAUCCGUGAAUCUCUUGUUCUCCUGAUCGGUUGUCAUUAACCCAGGUCUUCUUAACGGUUGAUACUGAUGUGUGAAUCUGAUCAUGCUUUUGCUUCCGUUGUUGGAUCUCCAACACUAACUCUCUGUCCCUGGCUGCCUCCACUAAACCAAAAAGAGUCUUAUGAUCAGAAAUGCUCACGAACUCCAGCACCUCCUCCCUCGACAUGUCAUGGUAGCAAGUCAUCAUCAUCUCCUCUGUUACAGUAUACUAUUGGAAAAUCAACGCUCUCUCUCUGAACUUAGCGGUGAUCUCAGCGACCAUUUCUGUAUUCUGCUCCAGCGCAAAAUGCUCCCAAGCCAGCUGAUAAACCUCAAUCGUUGGAUCAAACUCUCUCUUGAAUCAGAUAACAAAAUCCUCCCGGGUCAUAGACUUGGUUGCACUUGGUUCGAGCCCGAACAACCUCAUGCCACUAAUCCCUUGCCCCAUCACACAGAGAAAGAAGGUGAUUGAUAGGUAAGUGAAAUCUUACCUAAACAACUGGAAAUAGACGGCGAUGUCUUUAAUUUGGUCCAAAAACCCAAAAUUGGUCCAAUACACGAUGUAGGAUCAAAGAAUCGAUGAUUAAGGUGGGAACUCUUACCGACGACAACUUCAGCGGAAUCUUCAAAAUGCGGCUUGUGGUAGAGACGACGGUAAUUCGAGGUUGGUAAAGCAAAAUUAAUCGGUACGGUGAUUGGAGUUGCAAAAAGACCCGUGUCGUGAAGAAAGAAAGCAUGGCAGGCGACUCAUCUGAAUAAAGAGAACGGCUAAACAAAAGAAAGGAUAAGACGCAAACUUAAGGAUUAUAUACUACACAUAGUAGACGCGAUGUCAAAUAUUUUUGCAAACGAAAGCAAUAUAUGUGUGUUCAAGAUAGAUGAGUCAAGAUUUACCAGACGGUAGGAAGCAGUUGAAAAAUGAGCAGAAGACAUAUGCACGACCUGUAACAAAGCAAAUGUAGGAGAACUAUUGGAAGAUGAUGACGGUGAAACCACUUCGGCUCCAAACCACAGGUAUUCAAGUCGGCUUGAAACUAUGCAUUGUUCCUAAACGGGAACUACGUUUAUUAUGUAUAAUAAUAGGUUUAUAUAGUAUGACAUUACGACAUUUUAUAAAUAGGUACAUGGUUUAAAUUAUAGUAAAGAUUAAAAUAUUGAUAUUGUUGGAUGAUUGAUUUACAAUGUAAUUUACCUUAGAGCAUUUAGAUAGAGUGAUUAACCAUUUUUUAAAAGUUAUUUAUUCUUAUUUCUAUUUAAUUUUCAAUCUUUCAAAAUUUUAUAAUUACUUUGAAAUUUAUAAAAUAUUUUUGUAUAAAUAAAAACUAUAACUUAACCAUGUAUAAUUUAACAAACCACCUGCUAAUUUAACAAACAUAUCCUCAAAAUUUUAUUUUUAUAAAUUACUUUUCUUUAUAUGUGUCAUGUCUUAAUUCAUAUUACCGAUAAAAGUAGUCUAAUGUCGGUCUUUAUCCACAAACUAUAAAAAAAUUAUGUACUUCAUUUCUAAAUAAAAAUCUAUUAUAAUAAAUGAAAAUCUUUUUUACCAUAUAUCAAUCUUUCAUGAGUUUUGACAAUUAUCAUUUUGUAAUAUUUUUUAAAAUAAAUAAUAUCCACAUAUCAAUUUUUGAAUUUUUUAAAUCUUAAAAUUAAAAAGUCACAUAAUACUUAUAUAAUUAUAUAUAUGUAAGUAUUAAAUGUAAUAAAUUUAAUAAAUGUGAUAGUAAAUUGUAAUUAAUAUAUUUCUUUAUUUUUUAUUUCAAAAUUUUAUUUAAAAAUAUAUUUAUUGUUUACACUUUGACAUUUAAUUUUUUUUAAUCAACUCGUAUAAUAUAUGAGUUUUACACCUAACAAAGUUUAAUAUAUACAACAAAAAAUUAUAAAAAAAAUAAUAAUAAAUAAAUAACAGGUGGCAUGUGAUAAAAAAUCACUUUUUUCUUUUUCUUUUUGAAUUUUUUUUAUCUAAUUGUUUAACUAGUUGAUGAUUAAUACCCAUAAACAUUGUAUUAGUACUUUAAUAGAGUUAUUAUUUAAUUAGUGAAAUUAAAUAUCAAGUAUAUCCUUAAAUAUUAAAGAUGUCGUUUCACAUGACAAAAACAAUAAAAUCUUAUAAAAUGAAAUCAUAACUUUUAGCAAUUACUUUGUAAAAAGCAACCACAGACAUACAAAUAGAGAUUAUUUCAUUUUUAUAACUAUAUAUUAAUAUUAUUCUAAUACGAGUAUUUCUCUAAGUUUUCAAAUACGAAACGUUUAUAAAAAUCAUAACUAUUAAAACGAACAAAUCAAAACCCCCCAUAUUACGACUAUAUGAAGUCAAGUUCCACAUGAAUUCCGAUUUUAAGUUUUAACAUUCCAAAUCACCAUAUUCGACUCCCUCAAAAAUAUAUUCAUAGAAAAAUAAAACAGCCUCCGACCACCACAAACCACCGCACUCCUCUACCACCACGUCAUCAUCGUAUUCACCAAACAGAAGCAGCAGCAAUGGAUCAAUCUACCAAAGCUGGAAUCCCUAUUGCCCUUUGCACUGUAUUGCUUAUAUCCAUAUCUUUUAUCUACAUUCUAUCAGAGAAAAACACAUCGGUUUCCAUAACACAAAAGGUUUCUCCUUCCAAACCCUCAUCAUCCAUGGUAGGAACAGGAUCCAUGAUACUUGCAUUCAUUUUCUUGAAUUAUAUAUAUAAGAACAAAACUAAACAAGUAAUUAAUACAUACUAGAAAGUUAUGGUCUUUUUACCUUGUGAUUGCAGCGUAAGACCUCGACGUAUAGAGAUGAAUUAGAAGCAGCAUUGCGGGGAGCUUCCAUGGCGAAUAAAACCGUUAUCAUAGCCAUUGUGAACAAAGCCUACACUGAAGGCGAUAAACCGAUGCUAGAUAUAUUUCUAGAUGGGUUUUGGCUUGGAGAAGAUACACGAUCUUUAACGAACCACCUUCUGAUCGUGGCAGUUGAUCAGACGGCGUUUGACCGAUGCAAGUUUCUUAGAUUACACUGUUACAGACUGAAGACCGACGGCGAGGAUUUCGUCGGAGAGAAGGUUUACAUGUCGGAGGAAUUCAUAAAGAUGAUGUGGCAAAGAACCCGUUUCCUCGGAGAUGUUCUCCGGCGUGGAUAUAACUUUGUUUUUACGGUAAGUCCGUUUUAAUUACUUCACAUCUUAAUUUCUUUAUGCUUAUAACAUCUUUAGCUACGGAAAUAAAGAUUUGACUCGAAAUUUAUAAAUCCAUUUAAUUGGUGAGUGACUAUGUGAAUUACGCGUUGUCACCAUGAGAAAAAUGAAAUUAAGAUAGCUCUUAUUAUAUCAUGAAAAUACCGCCUGAUUAAUUACUUGAUUUCCAUUAUUUGUAGUUGAUAAAUGCAUCAAAAUACCCCCUGAUUACCUAUAAUAGAUUUUUUUAGAAAUAAUUAAAAUUCCUUAAUUGUCUAAAUGUUUAGAUUAAUCGUUUUACCAAUGGUUUUAAUUAUUUUUUAUGUUAAGUAUCUGGCCUUUAAUUGGCUUAACUGAUUGUACGGGAAAAGGGAUUGGGAAACUCGUUUGGGUCUCUUGGGUUUAAUUUUGUUUGUUUGCCUUUACUAUCUACCUUUUAUUGUUAAUUGUUAAUUUUGUUUCAAUGAAGUCUAAGUGUUCAAAAAAAAAUUUAUGAUACACAUGAUUUAUUUACUAUAUAUUUUUUGGAAAGUGUCUUAUACACCAUAAUUUAUAUUUUAUAAAAUUGUAUAAUAUAUUAUUUUGAAACACAAAUUAUCGUGUACAAAGAAAAAAAAAUAUUACACUCUACAAACAUAUUUUUUUUAGGUAUAUUAAGUACAAACAUAUUUUUUAGGUGUAUUUAUGCAUUUAAAAGAGUAUAAAGUGAAAUGUUAUACCUUUAUAUGUACCCCGUACAACUUCUGUUUUGACCUUUCUUAUUUAUAGAAUUCAAAGAAUUAUAAUUGGUAUGACCUUUCUUCUAUAUAGAAUUCAAAGAAUUUUAAUUUGUAUGACCUUUCUUCUAUAUGGAAUUCAAGAAUUUUAGUUUGUAUGACCCAAGGGAUCUAUCAAUUGUAACGUUUCCCUUUCCAUUCAUUAAUAUCUACAGUAAGUCCACAACCAUAACGGAAGAUGAAUUAAUAAACAAGAUUUAAUUAUAUUAAUAAUAUAGCAUUACUGGAUUCAAAUUUGUGCAUUAUUGAUUNNNNNNNNNAUAUAUAUCAUUUUUCCAUGCAAAAUAUACAUAUUUCAGUUUUAGAUGAUCACUGAUGUAUACUUCGUCUAAAACAACUUUGUGGCAUAAAUAGGAAAAGGAUAAAAAAAUCAUUUCAUAAACAGACAUAUAACAUGUGUUUUAUAUUUACAAAGAAAUAUUUUAUGUAUAUAACCAAUACUUAAUAAUAUUUAUUAAAUGGAUAACUCACAAAAAAGAACCAUAUCAUUAUGAAGAACUAAAAAAGACCAUAUGGUUAUGAAGAAGGAAUGUAAGUUACACUAAUUUUUAAUCAUCUCCCUUAUGAUCAUUAUUUCAAAACGGGGCAUCUCAAAUUUCAAAUGGUACAUUAUGAGGGUUUUUGGAUAAAUUAGCUUAUAUCUUAUUAAAUUAUAGUUUAUUAGUUUAUAGCAGUAAUAGAAAAAGCUUUUGUAAAAAUGUUUAGAUUAUAAAUAAACAAUAAGCUAUAAAUAAGGGGAUUCUUAUUAAAAUUAGCUUAUUUAUCUUAUCCUCACCACAAUAAAAUGAUUUUUAAUGUUUCCUAUCAAACCACUUAAACUUAACUUAUACGGAUAAACAAUAAGCUAUAAACACUCUUUUUUUUCCUUAUCCAAACACCCUUUAUAUAUAUAUUUUCUUUCAUUUGCUAACCAAACAAAUAUCAAAAAUCAAUCUACCCUUUUAAAUCCAAAAUGUUUACUACGAUUGAAAUUUUAAUUACUGACAAAAUUGAAAAAAAUGAUAUAUGUGGUUAUUACAAAUAUGUGUUUUAGUGGGUCUAAUUUUAAAUGUCUUAUAUGGUUUUUGGUCCCUAUCUUGUUAACUUUAACAUUUUGACUAUUAAUUCUUUUUAAUUAAUAAUUUAACUAUAUCUUGUUAACUUUAAUAUUUUGGCUAUUAACUUUUUUAAAAUGACAAUUUUAUCCUUAAAUACCAUUUUUAUAAUUGUGUCAUUUUACAAAACCAUAGCGAACACUUUUGCGUAUAUUUUUUUUAAUUUUAUUAAAUUAUUAUAUAUUAAUUCUUUUAAUUAACUUUUUUUAUUUGAGUAAUUUUUUUAAUUGAAUUAUUAUAUAUUAAUAAAUAUUAUUUUUAAUAUAAUAUUUAUAUAUUAAUAAAUAUUAUCUAUUGAAUUAUUGAUUUCUUUUAUUUAAUUCAUUUUUAUUGCAUUAAUUUUUUUUUUGUCGAACUGAGUUUUGAGACAUAUUUUAGAUAACACCACUCACGGACCAGGUGAUGGUGGUGCUAUUGUAUAAAAUAUGUUAUCUUCCAAAUAUUUAAAAUAAAUUAGGAGACAUUUGAUAAGUGUUACUUUUUAGGGUUUUUUAUUGAAAAUAAUAAAUAAACAAUCAAAAGAAAUUUAAAAAAAGUUUAAAAAAAUUAAAACAGUUAACAACAACGUCUAUUAAUCUAUAAACAAAAACGACAUUCAAAUCAAGCGAACACAGCCCAUGCGGAGUUUUGCCACAAAACUUUAACGGUUUGACAACUUUGGUUCCUUUUCUAAAAACUUGCUAAUUCCUACCCCUUUAAUUCUUUAGCCAUUUUGACACUUUUCGUCCUUGAAGUCAAAAGUUGUAUAUAUGUGCAUUAAAAAAAACACGGGUUUUCACCCAUGCACUUUCUACGUCUGUCAUUUGCUUCUUUUGCUAUAAUUUUUCUAUGUUAGUCAUCAUAUUUAAUUAUUUUGGUUUUCUCUACCCUCACAAAAGUCAACUAAGACAGUCAACAACAACUUCUAUUAAUUUAUAAACAAAAAUGGCAUUCAAAUCAGAUGCAUACGGACUAUACGGAGCAUGAGCAACAUAUCUAGUUUUGAUGUUAAAUAAAAGUAUAAAACUAAUCCAAAACAAUAUUAAUUUAAUCCCAAAUGCAAUUUUCUAGGUAAAAAUCGAAAAAAUUGAAAUUGUAUCUUUAGUAGCCCUAUAUUCCCGGUAAUGAUGUGAUAUUUACGUGUCUAUUUAUAAAAAAUUAAAAAAAAAAAAAAAAAAAAUCAAACUAUCAAAUUUAAUAUCGCAAUCUAUUAAUACCUAUACCUAUACCUAUACAUAUAUGAAAAUAUACACCAAUUGCAUCACGCGCGCCCUCACCCAUACGAUUCUUUGACAUUCUGUGAUGAAACUUGAGUCAUGGUUCUCUUUGACAAUUGAUAUUUUGUGUUGAAAUCUGGUACUAAUGGUUGUAAGUUGAAUCAAUUACAGGACACAGAUGUAUUAUGGCUGAGAAAUCCAUUUCCACACCUAACUCUGAAUUACGAAACUGCUGACCUUCAGAUCAGUGUGGACCAGUUUAACGGCAAUCAGUGGUCACAGAAAAACCCCAUAAACACUGGUUUCUACAUGAUCCGAUCCAACAACAAGACCAUCGCUUUGUUCGAUAAAUGGUAUGGAGAAAGAAACAAAUCACCUGGGAAAAAGGAACAAGAUGUUCUUAUUGAGUUAAUGAAGAAAGGAAGUUUUAAAAGGUUGGGAAUUAGGGUUAGGUUUUUGGACACCCUUUAUUUCAGUGGAUUUUGUCAAGAUAGUAGAGAUGUUAAGAUCGUUUCCACCUUUCAUGCCAAUUGUUGCCGGAGAAUCAAAGCCAAAGUCUCCGAUUUAACUGCUGUUAUUCAUGAUUGGAAGAGAUUUAAAGACCCCUCACCUUCACCCUUAGCCAAUAAAACCAUGGAGGAAUUUAGAUGGUCCAGUCAUUCAGCUUGCGAAAAAUCAUGGAUUUCAUAACUUCCACUAAUUUGAUGGUAAGAUCGAUGAUCCCAUAUAUGAUGGGGUUGUUUGUUAUCUCCUGCGAAAUGAGUUGUAAAUUAUUGUUUUCAUACUCCAGAUUGUUUAAAUGUGUUACGAUUAUUUUGUUCAAAUCAUGUACGUAUCAGUGAAAUAAAACCAGAAGGUAUAAUUUUCGAGUCUUCUUAUUAGUAUUUAUAGAAUAUUACAAAAAUGAAGUCCAAAACAGUAUUCCAAUCAUCUUCGGUUCCAUGAAUUACGACAAGCUCGGUGAUCGGACCAAUGAAACUCAUCGUUGAAGGAAGCUUUAAACCUCCUCCAAUCAUGAAGAACCUUGAUCAAAUCAGAUUCCUUUGCCUUAAUGCUCCGGCAACAAUUCGCAUGAACAAUGGAAACCUUCUUAACGUCUUUACUAUUCUCACAAAAUCCACUAAAAAAGAUGGUGUCUAAAAACCUUACUCGAAGACCUAAUCUUUCAAACUCCCCUCUUCGCAUCAGAUCCAAUAGAACAUCUUGUUCCUUCUUCCCUACUACUGAAUUGUCUUUCUCUCCAUACAAUUCAUCGUACAAAGCAAUCGUUUUGUUGUUUGAUCUGAUCAUGUAGAACCCCGUGUUAAUCGGGUUGUCUUCCGACCACUGGUCGCCAUUAAACUUAUCAACACUGAUUUGAAGGUCUAAGCUUUCGUCGACGUUCAGCCUUGGAAACGGAUCCCUUAGCCAUAAUACAUCCAUAUCCUGUAAAUUUCAAGAACAAAAUUAAAGCUUCAACUAAAUUAACAAAUUUGAUUAAUUGGUUGGUUGACCAGUUGUUUUUUCGUACAGUGAAAAUAAAGUUGUAGCCACGCUUAAGAACAUGUCCAAGAAAAAGGGUUCUUCGCCACAUCAUUUGUAGUAAAUCAUCCGCCAUGAAAAGCGUCUCGACACCUUCUGUUUUCAAUUUGUAGCAGUGCAAUUGUAAAAAGGUGCACCUGUCAUAAGCCGGUUGAUCAACUGCAACGACUAAAAGGUGUUUAGUAAGCUUAUAUGUAUCUUCUCCUACCCAAAACCCAUCAAGAAAUAUAUCCAGCAUCGGCUUAUCUCCUUCCAUGUAUGCUUUAUUCACAAAGGCUAUGAUCAGAGUUUUGUUUUCGUUUGAAACUUUUGCCAAUGCCUCUUCUAAUAGAGCUCCAUAACUCUUUUCAUCAUCUUUUGAUGAUGAUGAUGAUGGUGAUUGUGGUGGUGGUAAAUGUGUAGGAUGGUAAAACCUAUGGGUUAUGUUGGUUAUUGACACAGAUCCAUCUUUGUCGGAUCCAAGAUAUAUGAAUACAAGAGACACAACGGAGAAAAUCCAGAUGCUAAGAAGGAUUCGAGCCGUAGGGAAUUGAUCUGCUGAUAUUUCUUGUUCUAGUGUUCUCAUGACGAUGUAAAUGGUGUUUUCCGGCGAAAUUUGGUGGUGGAUGACUGGCCGGAGCUAGGGAGGGUUGUUAUGUGAUAUUAUAUUGUUGGAUGGAUAAAGUUUCAUGGUGAUGAAAAAUAUGCGAAAAGUUUGAGGAAAUUGAAGAAAUUUGAUUGAUAAAGAGAGGAAAGAAAGAGGGAAGAUGACGAUGAUGAUACAAACCAUUUGACAUGAAACGAACAUAACUAACCUAAGUGAGAUGUGAUGAUUGAUGAAGCUCAAUGGACAAGCGACUUGUUUGUCUAAUUAAGAGGACGUCUUUCUACUAUACAAAUUCGGAUAUGAAGUAUUGUGGAAAUACAUCAAAAACCUUCAUAUUAAAAUUAAAUACAAAACGAUCCACAUCUCAUAUAAAAAACAUACCCAAUGUGUUCAAAUCUACCUAAAAUGUGAUUAAAUAUUUGUAACAUUAUAAGAUGUUUUUAAUUUUUUCAUAAAACAAAUAUAGUAUUUUAGGAAAUCAAAGAAGAGAAAAUAACCUAUUUGACCAUGUUGUAUGUAAAUAGAAGAAGAGGAAAAAAGGAUAAUAUUUCACUGCCAUUUAAAACUGAGAAAUUACAGAGCUUAAAUAGGAAACAAAAACAUAAACUGAAAGAAAGAUAAAAAGAUAGACUAAGACUCUUGACUUUUGUAACUGAAAAACAACUUUUAAGACUCUACUAAUGCAGUAAUUAAAGACACAUGGCAGUGAUUAUUUUGAAUCAAUUAACCAACACUCCCCCUUGAUUCAAAGUUGCAUACUCCGAGCUACAUUCUAAAGAACUCAUGUUUGGCUUGAGGAAGAGAUUUGGUGAAUAUAUCUGCUGUCUGCUCAUUUGUUCCACAAAAACUCAGUUUAAUCUUUCCAUCAGUGAUCAACUUGCGAAUAAAAUGGUAAUGCACAUCUAUAUGCUUCGUACGAGCAUGGAAAGCAGGGUUCCUGGCCAUUGCAAUGGUUGAUCUGUUGUCACAAAAUACCUCUGUUGCAUCUUCUUGCUCAACACACAAAUCAACAAGAACUUUUCGCAGCCAUAAGGCUUGUCGAGCUGCUGCGUUUGCUGCUAUGUACUCAGCUUCUGAUGACGAUAGAGCCACUGUAUCUUGCUUCUUAGAACUCCAUGUUACAGCUCCGGAACCAAAGCUGAAAACAUUGCCUGAUGUGCUUUUGCGAUCAUCUACGCACCCAGCCCAAUCACUAUCGCUGAAGCCAACCAGCCUAAAUUCAGAAACUCUUGAAUACCAGAUGCCAUAAUUCUUGGUACCUGCUACAUAAUGAAGAAUCCUCUUGGCUGCACCAAGAUGCAAUUUUGUAGGGUUGUGAAGAAACCUUGAUACUACGCUAACAGGAAAAGAAAUGUCCGGUCUACUAUGUGUCAGGUAGUUCAGACCACCAACUAGACUUCUAAACACACUUGAGUUUGUUUUAUCGGAUCCAUCUUCAUGUUGUAGCUUCUCAUUGAUGUUCAUUGGUGUUGUUGAUACUUUACCACCAGUCACAUUGAACUUUUUGAGCAGGUCCGUAGCAUACUUCUUUUGACAUACAAAAAUUCCAUCUUUUCUUUGCAGCACUUCAAGCCCAAGAAAAUAUUUUAACAACCCUAAAUCUGUCAUCUCAAAUGUGCUCAUCAUGCAAGAUUUAAAAUCAUCAAUUAAGGACUUAGAUGUUCCCAUAUAGAUGAUAUCAUCCACGUAAAGACAGACUAACAAGAAUUCUCGAUUACCUUGUUGCUUAAGGUAAAGAGUGGGCUCAUUCUCACUUCUUUUGAAUCCGUUUUCUUGAAAGAAAGAAUCAAUCUUACUGUACCACGCACGUGGAGCCUGCUUCAAACCGUACAAAGCCUUUCGCAACUUGUAGGCUUUAUUUUCAGCAUCUUUAACAACAAAUCCUUGAGGUUGAGCUACAUACACUUCUUCACUUAACUCACCAUUCAAGAAGGCGGACUUCACAUCAAAUUGAAAAACAGGUAGUUGAAAUUGUGCAGCCAAUGCUAUAAUUAUUCUAACUGUCUCGAAUCUAGCCACAGGGGAAAAAGUUUCCUCAUAGUCUAUACCGUAUUCUUGUGAAUACCCUUUCGCAACAAGACGAGCUUUGUGUUUUUGAAGACUUCCAUCAGCAUUAUACUUUGUUCGAUAUACCCAUUUAAGUCCUACAACAUUCUUGUCUUUUGGAACAUCAACCAACUCCCAUGUUGAGUUUCUUUCAAUGGCUUGUAUUUCUUCUUUCAUAGCUUUCUGCCACUCAAGUUGCUGAACAGCUUCUUCAUAAUCGAUUGGAUCUGUUGCAUACAAGGCAAAUGCACAGGAGUUGUAAACAUCAGCCACGGAUUUGAACUUCUUCGGUGUAUCAUCAUAAGUGUCUCUCGGUGGUGGAUUAUUUGAUGAAUUGUCACUAUCUGAAUCUGAACUUGAAGAACCUUGAUCACCCUGGGGUAUUUCUGCAUUAUCUCCUGAACUUGUGGAUGGUACAUCUUCAAAGUUUAUAACCUGAUCUCUUUCUUUUUGGGUAUUAGGUAUCCACCUUGCUUCUUCNNNNNNNNNNNUGCUUAUUAUCACUUUGCCACUAAGAGGGUUAUAUAAACGAUAUGCUUUGGAUUGAGGACUAUACCCAAUGAAAAUACAUUUUAGAGAUUUUUCAUCAAGUUUUGAACGAGAAUUUACCAAAGCAUAUGCUUCACAACCAAAGACUUUUAAGUGGCUUACUGUGGGUUUUCUACCUGUCCAAGCUUCAUAUGGUGUGCGAUUCAUAACAGCUCUAGAUGGAGAGAUAUUUAGAAUAUACACGGCAGUUGCAAUAGCCUCUCCCCAAAACUGAUCAGACAGUCCCUUCACUUUCAGCAUGCUUCUUGCCAUUUCUUCUACUGUUCUAUUUUUCCUCUCUGCUACCCCGUUUUGUUGGGGUGUUUCAGGUGCUGUUAAUUGCCUGUAAAUGCCAUUUUUAUCACAAAAAUCAUUAAACUCAUUAGAUAAAAACUCGCCACCACGAUCAGUUCUGAGAGCCUUGAUGUUCCUGCCACUCUGUUUCUCCACAAGUGCUUUGAAAUUCUUGAAACACUCAAAGGCUUCUGACUUGAGUUUUAGGAAAUAAACCCAACUCAUACGACUGAAAUCAUCAGUAAGCAGGAAAAAAUACCGACUUCCACCAAAUGUCUCAGCUUUCAUAGGACCACACAAGUCAGCAUGUACAAGUUCUAGGCAAUCUAAAGCUCUCCAAGAACUUGCAAUGGGAAACGACUUUCUGCUUUGUUUUCCAUAAACACACCCCUCACAAAAACCAACUUCACCAAUAUUUGGCAGCCCGAAAACCAUCUCCUUUCUGCUUAGCAAUCUCAGCCCAUUUACAUUCAAAUGCCCAUAUCGUAGAUGCCAAAGCCUGGCCUCAUUAUCACAACUAACUGUUAAGGCUUUAUAAUCUUUUGUAACAUCGAGAGGGAACACUUGAUUUUGAGUCAUUUGGACAAUUGCCAUAGGCUGCCCAGAUUUCUUGUUAAUUAUGGAACACGUGUCAUCAUCAAAUACUACACGAUGUCCACUUCUCAUUAGCUGUCCAACACUCAGUAAGUUGUAUGCUAAACUUGGUACAAAUUGAACAUCAUGAAGAACUUUAGUAUUACCUUGCAUGGUUUCAAUAGUAAUUGUACCUUCGCCUUUAACUUCAAUCUUUCGGUCAUUCCCAAGUCGGACUUCACUUUUCUUUGUUUCAUCAAGAUCUCGAAAUGAAGAUCUUGAACCAGACAUGUGAUUCGAGCAUCCACUGUCUAUAUACCACACACGAUCUGAAACAUUAGUAGUUGUAGACAUAGUCAUAAAUAGCCUACCUUCUUCUUCCACCUUUUCAGUAAAGUUAGCUUUAUUUUCAUCUUUUUGCUUGGUCCAACAAUCAGCUUCAACAUGUCCAGACCUAUUACAAUACCGACAUUGCAGGUUGCUCUUUUGGUAACGUUGAUCUGCAAAGUUUCCUCUUCCUCUUCCACGACCACGACCUCGAAAAGUGCCUCUUCCUUGCCCACGACCACCGGAAGAACCACCAGAUUUUUCUGGUCUGCCUUUAAAAGAAUUGCCUCUUACUUGGAAUGCUUUCUCAUCACCUUUUUCGCUGCCCCUGUUUAACCUUUCUUCGUGUGCAAUCAAAGAACUCAUCAACUCAUCAAACGUGUAAGUUGAUAGGUCCUUAGAUUCUUCAAUCGCGACAACAACAUGAUUAAAUUCCUUGGUCAGGCUUCGUAGGACUUUGCUUACUAUUGUUUCUUCACUAACAUUUUCACCAUAAGUUUUCAUGUGACUGACAAGUCCAGAUACUCUAGAAAGAAAUACUUGCACAGAUUCCUUUUCUUUCAUAACCAAAGUUUCAAAUUCACGACGAAGUGAUUGAAGUUUCACAGUGAUUACCUUUUUAUCACCCAUAUAUUCUUGCUUCAAAAUUUCCCAUGCCUCCGUGGAUGUUGAUGCUGCAGCAAUACGAGGAAAUAUUUCAUCAUCCAACGCCGACUGAAUGUAUAGAAGAGCCUUUGCAUCCUUCUUACGAGUGUCCCGCAACGGUUGAUCUGGUUGAGCCGGUGCUAGAGUUGGCUCUGUGUAUCCAUUCUCCACCAAUUCCCAAAGCUCCUGGGAUUUGAACAAAGUCUUCAUUUUUAGACUCCACAAAUGAUACUUUUCUCCUUUGAAGACUGGAAUCAGAGGCUGAGUUGCAGAACUGUUGUUGUUGCUUGCCAUUGCUAUCUCUCUUAGGUGUUUCACUCAAUUACUCCUUUCUUUUGCUUGAUAAAGAAAGAAGCGGAUCAGAACCUGGAACAGCUCUGAUACCAUUGUUGUAUGUAAAUAGAAGAAGAGGAAAAAAGGAUAAUAUUUCACUGCCAUUUAAAACUGAGAAAUUACAGAGCUUAAAUAGGAAACAAAAACAUGAACUGAAAGAAAGAUAAAAAGACAGACUAAGACUCUUGACUUUUGUAACUGAAAAACAACUUUUAAGACUUUACUAAUGCAGUAAUUAAAGACACAUGGCAGUGAUUAUUUUGAAUCAAUUAACCAACAGACCAACUUAAACCUAAAUUCAUUUUGGCCUAUAUCUUUUGAGGCAAGGUUUAAUUCUAGCAUUGCACUAUAAGAACCUCACUAUUAGCGGCGACAGGCGUCACCGCUAAAAGUUCGGUUUGUCACCGUUAAAUCGCUAAUAGCUGUUACGGAAACGUGUCAGGUCGUCGGUUUCAAAUAAUUAAUUAAAUGGCUGCCAUCACGGUUGAAAAUAUUUGUUAGCUUAAGGAAAUAGUUGAUCAUUGUUUUCGUUCGUGUAUAUUUGGUUAUGUAUAUAUUGAUUGAAACAUGGAUUUCUCUUUUUUUUUGUAACAGGCUGGAUGUAUUGCUAUUGUAUAUUUCUUUAUGUCCUUGUAUAAUUAAUGGUGUACUAACGAACAUAACAAUUAGGAUAUUAUGAUUUUAUUUCCACAAUUUAUGAUAUAUAAGUUUCUUCACUUAUUUACCCUUUUUAAGUUCCUAUAUUUUCAACAUGCUUAUUCAACUUAGGUUAGGUUUGUUACGAUUUGAUUAUGCAGGUCUUUGUUCUACUUUGAUGGAAAACUAGAACAAAGUUCGACAUUGGCCACAAUGUCUACAUUUGAUGAUAUAUUACUAGAUGGAUUAAUGCAAUGGUCUUGUUACACUUUUAUCUUUUCGGAAAAAGGUAAAUUAUCUCUAUGUUUCUUUUUCAUAAUUUUUUAAGGUACUGUUUUCUGUGCCUAUUUUUAACCCAUCAAAAAAGUAGUGGAAAGCAAAUAGAAAUGUAGUGGUUUCUUUGCCAUUUUUUGCUCGGUGUAAUGUCAAUUGAACAAAACUGAAAGAGUUAAUAACUCAGGAUAUACAAUUAGAGAUCCUUAUAGAUGUCAAACCACUGAAUCGACCAACCAAUUGAUAUUUAAAAUUUUUUGGUUCAUAUAUAACAGAAAACAUAAUAACCACAUAAUAUUUUAUAACAACAUAUUAUCUAAGAAUGAUAUAUUUUUUUUUGCUAAUCGUAAAAACCAUAUUUACCCACAGUUCACACCUGGUCUUUUUUGCUUGCCAAAUUUUGAUGUGUAGACACAGUUCAGCAAAUUUACUCUGAUACUAACUAGCUGGGACAGAAAAUGACAAAAACACAUAAUCUUUGAGACGUUAAAACUAAAUAAAAACCUCAAGAAAAAAGAUUUCAAAAACAAACAGUGAAAAGAAACCACGCUACAAUUCUGUUACAAAAAGGGGUUCUAUCCUAACUAUAAAGACUUACCCAAAACCUAGUUGAAACAAUGAACUAAAGAGAUAUGUAUUUAGGAGUUAGGACAGCUGUAAAAAAUUUAAAAACCUUAAGAGCUCUAAAAAAUAUUAAACAUACUUGAUUGUUAAAAUCGGCAUAAAAGAAGUAAAAAGGGAAGAUCGUUUACAUCUAAAUGUCAUCCUACUUUCAGUUUUAACCCAUACUAGUAUAUCACUUCAAUUUUAAUGUCAGCUAAAAUUUAUUUUUAACCUAUUACAGCAUACUAGCAUACUACUUUUGCUUCUUAUUAUUAUAACAAUAUACAUUCAUUUUUUUCUUAUUUAGGCAUCAUAGUUUCUAUUGGCAUCCUACUUUUCUAGAUAAGAGUUUGUUUAACGUCUCAGAAUCAACAUGUACAUCUAAAAUUGCACCCCACAAACGACCUUAAAUUCAUUUUCUUGACUUUUACCUUUUUUACCUGAAACAUAUGAACAUUUAAUUGGAUUUAUUAAAUGUGCCGAUGUGCAUUAGAUACAUUUAAUAUAUCCAACCAAAUGACACACACAAAGAUGAAUUUCAUGGAUACAAGGUCAAAGUUCUACAUCUUUGUUGUUUUUUUUGUUUUGUAAGGAUGUUUUUUAUAUGCCUUUAUAGUUUUUAAAGUUACUCAUCAAUGAAAAAUUCUUUCCACCAGCCACUCUUUCUGACCUGGAACAUGCUACAACUGGCAUGGUUUUUUGGGUUAACCUCCUAUGUACUAAGCGAUGAUUUUUUUUCUUCAAAGAUGAGGAAAGAACUGAUGUAGUCGGUGUAACAUCCCAAAAAUACGGUCCAAAAUUUUCAUUUUAAAUUAUUAAAUAAACCAUAGUUAUCCAAAAACAUAAGUAAUUGCAUCAAAUCAGAGUAUCAUAUCAAAACACAUGUCAAUAUAACAGAGUAAAGCAUCCCAAGCUAAAAUCAUGGUUUGUGCACUGCAGUCAUCCCGAGCUCUUCCAUUUGCUACCGGAAGUACCCGAAACCAAAACUGAAAAUUGUAAGCAUGAAGCUUAGUGAGUCUCCCCAAAAUACCACAUAUCAUACACAUAAUCACAUAAUAACAUAACACGGGUUUUUCCCGCUACAUCGGGCCCCGCCGACAUCGGACCGGAGUCCGGCAUUGGGCCCCGUCUGGCAUCGAACCGAAAUCCGAUAUACAUAUAAACAUAUCGACAAAUACAUAUAAUGUAAUCACAUAACAUAAGCAUAUAAACAUUCAUCGGGCCCCGCCCAACAUCGGACCAAAAUCCGGAAGCAAACAAACAUUCCUCGGGUUUUCCCGACAUCGAACCGAAGUCUGGAACAUAUAAAACAAGCACAUGCAAGAAUCACGAAGACAUCAAGCAUACAAAAAUUCCUCGGACUUUCCCCAGCAUUGAACCGAAGUCCAUAAACAUAUAAGCCUACAUCGGGCACUACCCGACAACGAACCUUAGUCUGGCAUAUACUAACACACAUAAACGGGCCGGUAUUGGUGCCUUUGACCCGUUCAUACAAGAGGAAAACUCACAUCGCAAAGUUGAAUGCCGAAUCUCACGGUAAGGAAUCUCUAACGGCUGCUCCAACGACUCCCCAGCUAUCAUUAUCACAAUAACACUUAGUCAAAAUCCAAUAAUCCUUCUUAGGGUAAAAUGACCAUUUUACCCCUAGUGAAAGUCAACAUUCUGGUUGAAUCAACUCGCCGAGUUGACCCUGAGGGGUUUUUGGCUAUAAGAACAUCCUAUGUGCUCAUACAAAUCCUAAUGCUUGGAUCUAGGUUUCUCUAUUGUACAUGCAAGUUAUCCAAGACUAUAAACCCUAAUUCUAGCAUUCAAGUAAUCAUAUUAACAUGAGAAUAGGUUUAAGAUAUUACCUUGAUUGUUAUGUAGCAAUAACAAUCCCAAUUCCUCCUUGUAUUGACUUUAGAAAGCUUAGAGUCACAAAUGUCACUCCUCUAAUGGUUCACAAACACCAUAAGCAAGAUGAUGAAGAGGAGAGAGGAUGGAGGCUGCCAAAACUCGUGUGAAACCCUAGCAAGAAGCUUAGCCACGUUUUUGGUCCUUAAGGGAUCUAUAUAUAGUGAGGCAAUUAGGGUUAUCUAACAAGGAAACCCUAAUUUGGAUGCUUAAGCCCUAAGCAACCCAUGGAGCCCUUUCCUUAAGGCCUUGGACGAUUUCAUAUGGGCUUCCCCCAUAGAAUUCGUCCACCUUAUAAUAUAAGGCAAUCCAUGGCCCAAAUUGCAAUUAUCUUAUAAUUACAAUUCCAGUCCCUUAAGUUUAAUUAAUCUCUUUUAGUCACAAAACUAAUUACCAAUUAAUUCUUGACUAAUAUUAAUUAAACAAUAUGAUUUCUCCUUUAAUAUAUUAUUCUCAUAAUAUAUUAAUAAAUCAUAUUUAAUCCUUUCUCUCCAUAAUUCAUCCUAUCAAGUUGCUUUGGUGAAGGCAACCCAAAAGGACCAUGCACCAUCGGGUCAAGUACAUACCAAAAUAGUUAUGGACUUAGACACUAAUCCAACAGUCUCCCACUUGGAUAAGUCUAAUAACUAUUAUGCGUAUGACUUCAGAUCCUGAUCUGCAAUCGUAGCUUUCCAAAGCCGCUGUCAACUCUGAUCCUAUCAGAUACGCGUGUCCUUAGAUAAGGGAUCAUAUAUUCCUCCAUUCUAGAUAUCAUAUGAGAUAUGAUUUCAAAUCAUUCUCUUUGUACUAUAUCUCGAUUUCCGAUUUAUGACGACUGACUAAUUGAACAAAUCAAAUUAGCCCUAGCCCGGCCGAGCAUUUACGUUUGUCAUCACUAAAUCAUCGAGGGGCCCAAAGAUAUCGCUUUUAUCCUACUUUGGAUAAAAGGAACGGAUAAACUUUGAUACAAUGCUUGCUUGCACUCACUCACCGAAUCACACACAACAAUAUGUUUUAUAACACCAAGUUACUAGUGCGUUUACAUAUUAUCAAUGUGCAACCGAUUUGCAAGAUACAACUCACACAUCUCGGUUUCAAGAAUAUAAGAUGUUAUCGUCUCACCAAUCACUCGUGAUACAAUUCAUGGAGUGAUCCAAGUGAGCGUGGGUUUAAUCCAAUGCUCAAAUCAUAUUCAUAAGCACUCAUGAACGUUGCAGCAAACAUUUGCUUAUGUCUAAUACUCUUUUAGACAAUCCACACACCAAUUCACGACAGUCUUCAUUCAUAUCUACUUCCAACAUAUGAACGACUGUGGCCCGUUCGAAUAAUUCGAUUAUUCUUAAUAAACUCAAUUAUUCUGGAAGUCAAAACAUGCAAAUGUGAAACACAAGAAUAAUACUAAUCCCAUAUGGCCUCAAACCUUUGAGUAUAAAUAAAACACCUUUUAUUUAUCACCAUAUCGAUUACUCAUUAUUUGUCGUUUCGGGUAAUCAACUUCUUACUUGAAUUAUUACACUUGUCCCAUGCUCUUAGCAUGCACACAAUGUUUACCUAUGGUUCUUACUUUUGUGAAAUAGAUCAAAUUGAACACAUUUCCAAUCAUUCUCAUUUCACAACUCCAAAUCCUUUUUCAUAAGUGUGAGAAUAUCAAAUUCUUGUUACUUAUAAAAUAUGCUAGAUUCUAACAUUCUAUGCAAUGAUCCUUUCGUAAUGUCACUGCACCAAAGUCACAAAGACUAUUGCCAAUGAUAUUACAAAGUCCUCUAUCGGAGAUUGUUACAAGACAAUUCCUUAGAUAUGAUGUCUCUCACUCAAAGUACAUUCCUUUGAACAUCCUUUUGCAUAAAAGUUUCUAAUCUAGACAUAGAUUUUCAAUAUUCAAUUCCCAAUAUGGACACGCUUCCAUAUUUUCCAUAUGACAACUCAUUCUUAAUAGAAUCUUAUCUAUUCGUAAUGAUGUCGAUAUGGUCCAUCCAAUAUGGAAACAUUUCCAUAAUUUCCAUAUGACAACUCAUUCUUAAUAGAAUCUUUUCUAUUCAUAAUAAUGUCGAUAUGGUCCAUCCAAUACCAUGCUUCCAACUACUCACAAGCGACCAAUCCUCGUCGAACUUUGGAUUGUCCUUUGAUAGUUGUUUAAUUAUUUUAGUCAAAACCAAUUCUAGUCCCUUUUCCCUCUAAAUGCGCUCGACAUUUGGAAAAUUUUAGAAUGGUCAAACAUUAAAGCAUUUGCAAUCGAUCCUAUACCCGAAGCGUAUGGGACACGACGCAUAAUGUUUUAUUUGCUAUGUUCUCAAAAUUCGAAUUGUGAAGAGGGAUGCCGUAAUCAUAAUCGAAAUUUUAAGAACACACUAUGUACCUUUGACUAAAUUUAUUAACAUUUCUCAACCUAAUCCUUUAGAUUUGAAAUGAAGCAUAAUAUUCUCUCCCUUAAUUAUAGCAAAACAACUUUACAACCCUUACGACUUUGCAAGGUAUAACUCUUGUUUUCUAUAAUUAAUAUUGCCAACUUGCAAUACGUGCCUUAAUAAUCAUACAAUCAUAACAUUUAUGCUCCCACUAUCAUGAUGAUUAUUAUAAAACAUAACACUUAUGCUCCCACUAGCUUCGACAUGUAUUCAUAAACAUCUUAACUUUCAGAAAAACAAUACUUAUUGAAUUUCUUAAGUUCAUGUUUCUAAUACUUAGUGCUUUGAUAAUCUUUUAUCAAGGCUUCUUGAACUUAUACACCUUUGCCUUCGAUAGUUCAUAUGUGUGUCUAAACAAUUAAGACUAAUUGCCAAACCUCACAAUUCAAAUUAUGGAAAGGGAUACCGUAACCAUAAUCGAAUUCGAGAAUGCAAUUUUACAAUCACUAUCUUCUUAAAAUCUUUCUUAGUGAAAGCAUUUCCUCACAAUCAUUUUCAUGAAGGAGGAAAUCUUAUGACACUUAGAUUUAAACGGUGUAUGUGUUCCUAUCCAUGUGAAUUUGUUAAAACCAAAGUUUACGACAAAUUCAAACUCAUAUGGACCGAACUUUCUUAAUCUUGAUUUCUUGCCUUAUGGUAGCACAGCUGCCCACCAUGUCUUCCAAGUAGUUAAGCAGCUCACCCUUUCCUAUCAAUGUACCUUUCAUUGAUUAAGGUGCUUUGCCUUUUAUGCGUUCAAAAUGAGAACUCAUAGAACUCACAUGCAUAAUUAACUCGAUUGGAUUGGCACAGAAACAAAAUAAUGUCAACACGAUAGGUUGUAAACCUCAACUCGUGUGCUAGUGAUGAUCGAUAAGGUUUAUUUGAUUUGUUCUUGAAACCUUUCAAGACCAUUAAGACUCCCACUGACUCCUUGACAUAUAAGAUUCUCUUGUCAAUAAACAUUUCUUGACAAACAAAUAUUCAAGAGUUAGUGUAGCUUUUAUCAAAACACUUCAUAAAUUGGUCCUAGUUGGUCUUUGUCUUAUCCAAGACAUCACAACUUUCCACAUUUGAUGAAUGUUAUAAACCUUCUUAAUACUUUUCACUCAAUGUCACAAUCUUAACUCUAAGACUUGUUUUGGAACGAAGUAUGAUUGACUUCUUGAUUUAACCAUUUCUUCAAUUCUUGAUUCCUCUUCUUAGACAUACAAUUGUACUAAGACUCACUUAGAGGAUCAAUUGAGAUAUGGUUCUUAAUCAUUAAGACCUAUCAUAAAGCAUAAAAGGUACUCUCCCUUCUUCUUAGAAUGGAGAAACUUUUAUCUUUCUGCCUACUUGAUUCUUCUUAUUCGUUCUGCUAUUGAUUUAAACUUUUUCAAUCAAUUCAGAAUUACACUUAAUCUUGUAAGUAUAAUCAUAUUUACUAAACCUUUAGUAAAUCAUGACGAAUAUCUUUGUUACUCUUAUGGUGGACUUGAUCAACACGCAACUUUGUGUACUCGAUCUCCUAGUCCUUCACUUGACACUUUGUCAAUGAAUUAGUCUAAUUUCCAAAUAUGAAAUUUCUCAUUCAUCGUGCAACCAAGUUGCAUGAUUCCAAGUUUCUGUCCAAUUGAAACUUGGGCGAUGAGAAACUCUCCCUAUUUGGUAAAUUCUCGACUUUCCAUAAAUAACAUAAUAAGAACCAAAUCCAUUAUUGCUAAUAAUAGAAACAUUCAAACAUCAAUUUUUCAUAUACGCCAUUGCAAGGAUAAAUAAAUAAUAUAAAAUCAAAAUUUAUUUUAUUGCGGAAAAAAUUUGUCCUUACAAUGCAAUUCAUUGAAAAACUAUGCUAAUACAUCUUUCUUAGCAAUCUAAUUCUAACUCUAAGUAGUAGCUCAAGAAUCUAAUCUUCGAGAAAUGCGAUCGAAAUCCAUUCCUUCACGGUUAGAUUCUGCUCACUUCUUCCCUUAAGCUUCCUUUCUUUUCUUCGAUCCUACAAAACAUCAAUUGUAAUCUUAUCACAUUAUGUAUUAAGAAUCUAGAAUAGAAGCUUAAAAGAGUUAGUUAAUGGAUUUUACCUAUAUUAGAGCCAUACGUUUCGACUCUCCCAUCUCUUAGAUCUCUUAGGUAAAUGGGGCAGCUUCGUCUCCAAUGCCCUUUCUCUUGGCAAUAAAAGCAAAUUGACUCUUUUGGAACAUGACAUGGAACUACUUCAGACAUUGCCUUUCUCUUAUGAUCAAACUUUUCGAUCAUAGCAUGUCUUUCGUUGCCAUUGUCUAUAUCCAUAGAGGUCUUGAAGGCAGAUUCACCAAUCAACUUUGCUUUUCUAUUGCGCCAAACCAUUGCUGAUUCAGCAGCAAUAAGCAUAUAGGUGAGAUCUAUAAGGGUCACGUCGCGGUUCAUCAUAUAGUACUCUCUUACGAACUCACUAUAUGAGUUAGGAAGUGACUGAAGAACCCAAUCAACAGCCAUUUCCUCACAGACAACGGAUCCCAACAUUCUUAACCUAUCAAUGUGUGACUUCAUCCCUAGGACGUGUGCACACACCGACUUUCCUUCUUUAUGUUUACUUGCCAAAAGGGCUUGAGUGAUCUUGAACUUUUCAAGCCUUUGAACUUGUGGGUUAGGGAGAAUAAUUGGAGGAGGAGGAGGAAGUGAAGCAUGAUUUCUUGUUCCUCGAUCGAAUCGUGGAAUAUCAUCUUCAUGUGGAAUGCUUGUUCCACGGGAUUUGGGAAGACCAUAGUUGUCGAACUUUGACAUCUACAAAACGGGAGAAAACGAAUUCAAGUUAGUUGAUUGAUUGAGUCCUUAGUAAAUCACCCAAAUGAGAUACUAAGGCUAGGACCCAACACAAUAUUCUACAACUCGGGAGAGGGAUGCCGUAACCCUAAUUGCAGAAUAUUUGAAGGUAAGUGAAUGACGAUUCACUAAUUUCCACCAUGAAAAACGAAAAAGAAAUUUAAGUUUUAAAUCUAUGAAAACUCCUAGAUCCUUUGAGAUUCAUUGAACUUUCAAUGGCAUGUUUAAAUCUCGAUAUGCCCCUCUUGUUUGUGACUGGGAUGCCGAGGAUCACAAAGCGGGUGUGAAUAACCAUGCAAACUUACAUGGUGCCCUCACAUGUUACAGUCACCUAUUCGAUGUGCCGGUAAACCACACACGCUCCACCGAACUAUGACAAACAUUGAGUCACCCUUUGCUACCUUUGCUUAGAACCAUUUAGUGUGCCGGUAAACCACACACGCUCCACUAACGUCUUCGCAAGGGCACAAAGUGUAAUUUCAUGGAAUUGCAUCAAUUCACUUUUGCCUAAGUAACUAAGAUUGGGAAUUUUAUGAAAACAUUUAGUUACUUUAAUAAUUCAUUAUACUUAUAAUGGAAGGUUUCGUCCUAUCCUACCCGUUCGGCUAACGACCCUCCACUAGUCAAGAGUGCGGUGGGUAAGAGUGGAUACCCAUUCAAUCGCCAUUUUAUAGGCAAUUUCCUUAAACACCCCUUAUAGACCAGCUUCGUGAAUGAGGCCUACUAACGGUAAGACUGACUUUUACUCAUACAUAUAUAUAAUGUUAGACUUUUAAUGUUAUAUAUAGUAUAGGGUGUAUUUUACACUUUUAAAAUACUAGGUGGUCUAAUUUAACAAUUAUACUUUUAAUUCAAUUAAAUUGUAAACCAAAACUUUUAUGGAUUUAUUAAACCUCUUUUAAUUAUACACCUUAAUUAAUUAAUAAAACCAUAAGGGUGUGAUUUGAACUUUUUCAAAACAAUACUAGGGUUUUAGAAUUUAACAUUCCUAAUUAAACUUUUAAUCAACUUUUAAAUUCCAAAACUUGAGGGCAAGUUUUGAAACAUUUCAAAACAUUAGGGUUUAGAAUUUAAAUAUACAUCAAAAUUAAACAAUUAAUCAAAAUUUAAAUUCCAAAACUUGAGGGCAAGUUUUGAAACCUUUUUCAAAACAUUAGGGUUUCAACUAUUUAAAUUUCAAAACUAAACUUUUGAGUUCAAAUUUAAACUAUAAAACCUAAAGGGGAAAAUAUGAAACUUUUCAUAACACAAGGAUCAAAUAACAAAUAAUCUUAAUUAACAAUUAAUCACAUAAUUAUCCAUAUUUGAUUUAUUUAAUGAUUUCUUGCAAAACAAUUUACCAAUUUAAUCAAAAUAAUUAAUCAAUUAUCACAUAAGGAAACAAAUAUUUUAUUAAUUGAUAAAUAUCUUCAAUUAGAUCAAGAAUAUAGUCAUAUAUAUCAAAAAAUCGGAUUUAUAUUGAUCUAAUAUGAUAAGGCAACUAUCCUUAAGCAAAAAUAGCAAGAAAUCCUGGUUUUCCCUCCUUCUGACCAGCCGACUCGUCGAGUCAGGCAUGGACUCGUCGAGUCAGCAUGGACUCGGCGAGUUCAUCUAUGGACUCGGCGAGUUCAGCAAGCAGAACCACAAAAAACGAAUUUUUUCAACAUACAAGGCAUCAAUACAAUAGAAACCAAUCUAGGCUCUGAUACCACUGAUGGGUUUUGGUCAUAAGAACAUCCUAUGUGCUCAUACAAACCCUAAUGCUUGGAUCUAGGUUUCUCUGUUGUACAUGCAAGUUAUCCAAGACUAUAAACCCUAAUUCUAGCAUUCAAGUAAUCAUAUUAACAUGAGAAUAGGUUUAAGAUACUACCUUGAUUGUUAUGUAGCAAUAACAAUCCCAAUUCCUCCUUGUAUUGAGUUUAAAAAGCUUAGAGUCACAAAUGUCACUCCUCUAAUGGUUCACAAACACCAAGAGCAAGAGGAUGAAGAGGAGAGGUGAAGGAGGCUUCCCUAAAACGUGUGAAACCCUAGAAGAAGUCUUGGCCACGUUUUUGGGUCAUAAGGGAUGUAUAUAUAGUUAGGCUAUUAGGGUUAUCUAACAAGGAAACCCUAAUUUGGAUGCUUAAGCCCUAAGCAACCCAUGGAUCCCUUUCCUUAAGGCCUUGGACGAUUUCUUAUGGGUUUCCCCAUAGAAUUCGUCCACUCCUUAAUAUAAGGCAAUCCAUGGCCCAAUUGCAAUUAUCUUAUAAUUACAAUUCUAGUUCCUUAAGUUUAAUUAAUCUCUUUUGGUCACAAAACUAAUUACCAAUUAAUUAUUGACUAAUAUUAAUUAAACAAUAUGAUUUCUUCUUAAAUAUAUUAUUCUCAUAAUAUAUUAAUAAAUCAUAUUUAACCCUUUCUCUCCAUAAUUCAUCCUAUCAAGCUGCUUUGGUGAAGGCAACCCAAAAGGACCAUGCACCAUCGGGUCAAGUACAUACCAAAAUAGUUAUGGACUUAGACACUAAUCCAACAGACCCAUCGACUCGCCGAGUUCUAGAAAUCAGAAAACUCUGAAAUCGCGAUCCAACUCGUCGAGUUUCUCCUAUCAACAUCAUUGGUACUUUCCAAUUCCGCUCGUCGAUUCCAUCCUUGAACUCUUCGAGUCUUACCUUCUACAGGGUCGGGGUAUUGCGACCCAACUCAUCGAGUUCCUUUAUGAACUCGUCAAGUUCUUUAGUCUAUUAAGCCCUUUUUAAUGGAUUAAGCUCCUAUCCUUCAGAUCUAAGCCCCAUACUUCAUAUACAUACUGAAAAUGUCCUUUUAAGGGUAAAGUUUCCAACUUUACCCAUUAAUACCCUUCCUUAAUGGAUUUAGCUUAACCCCUAACUCUUUAAUAUCUAGAUCUUGAUCCAAAAGCCAUUAAUACUUCAAGCUAAGGCAUACAAACUGAGAUCUAGACCCUAGACACUACAUGAACAUGUAAAGUCACUGACUUUCUCUCCAUGCAUGGCCUUUGGAGCUUAAAAGGCCAAAAUGCUUGUCUAAAGGUUGCAUGGGGCUUCUAUGACCAUAAAGUUUAUACCUUUAUGCCAUGAAAUCCCUUCAAGACCCUAGAUUUGAAAGGGUAUUCACUUGGGACGUCCAUUUCCCAAGGAUCAAGAUGUUUGGACCAAAAACUCAAUAAAAGUGUUAAGAAAGAGAUCUAAGAAAUCAUUUGGCAAGCUUGAGACUUGCUUACCAAAAAGUGACGAGGAUGAGGUGAAGUUUAUGGAUCUACAAACUCCUUAAUGAGUCCUCAAGCUUCUUUUUCUUCCACAAGCUUAAAACACACAAAAACUCUCUCAAAGAUGGCUCACAAACUCACACAAUGCAUUAGGGUUUCUGUAUUUAGGGUUUGGGACUUGGAGGGUGGAAAUGAGGCCAAUAUGGAGGGUUUAAGAUGCUUAAAUAGGGUGCAAACCCCGGAAAUUAGGGUUUCAUUCUGCCAGUCCUACUCGUCGAGUUGAGGCUCUAACUCAUCGAGUAGACUUUAUCACCCGCGUCCAAAUUCAUUCCCAACAAGAUGAGUUUGGGGCCUCCAACUCAUCGAGUUCUUAUACAAAAACGAAUAAAUUUUUAAUUAAAUACAUACCAGGAACUAGGCGUUAUAAUUCUCCCCCACUUGUCUUAGACUUCGUCCUCAAAGUUUGUUGCCUUAAAUAACUAUGGGUAAUUAAUGGUCUCUCGUCUCAUCCUCUGGUUCCCAAGUCCACUCUGACCCCUUGUGGUGCAUCCACUGCACCUUCACUAACUGUACAACCUGGUUCCUCAAGGUUUUCAUCUUGUGAUCCAGAAUUGCCACUGGUCUCUCAAUAUAAUUCAGGUUGUCAUCAACCUGGAUAUCCUCUAAAGACACAACUGCGGAGUCAUCCACCAAGCACUUUUGCAGCUGGGAGACAUGAAAAGUAUUGUGGAUCUGGCUGAGCUCUGCUGGAAGAUCAAAACAAUAGGCCACACGGCCCACCCGAUCUGUAACUCUGAAGGGACCGAUAUACCUGGGGCCCAGCUUGCCCCACUUUCUGAACCGGAUGACACCUUUCCAAGGUGACACCUUCAGGAGGACCAUGUCGCCUACGUAAAACUCCAAGUCUAAACGACGCUUGUCGGCAUAGCUUUUCUGCCGACUCUGAGCAGUCUGAAGCCUGCUUCGAACCAGUUGAAUCUUCUCAGUGGUCUUGAGUACCACUUCAGUACUCCCCAUGAAUCUCUGACCGACCUCGUCCCAACAGAUUGGGGUCCUGCACUUCCUCCCAUAGAGCAUCUCAAAGGGAGGUCGAUCUAUGCUAGCAUGUUAGUUGUUGUUAUACGAAAAUUCCGCUAACGGAAGAUAUGUAUCCCAACUGCCUCCAAAAUCCAAUACACACGCACACAGCAUGUCUUCUAGAGUUUGAAUCGUCCUCUCACUCUGUCUGUCAGUCUGAGGGUGGAAAGCGGCACUAAUGUGAAGAAGAGUACCCAUCUCGUCGUGAAACCGCUUCCAAAAUCUGGAAGUGAAACGAACAUCUCGGUCUGAUACAACCGAAACCGGCACUCCAUGUCUUGCCACUACCUCACGUACGUAGAUCUCGGCUAGCUUCUCAGCCGAUAUACUCUCCUAGAUUGGGAUAAAAUGAGCACUAUCGUUCAACCAAUCCAUGAUGACCCAUAUCGAUUCUACUCCACGUGCGGUCUUGGGAAGCUUCGUGAUGAAAUUCAUAGUGAUAUCUUUCCAUUUCCACACGGGAAUGUCCAAUGGUUGCAUCUUGUCGUGAGGUCGCUGGUGUUCGGCCUUGACUUUCCUGCAAGUCAAGCAUCGUAUACAUACCAUGCUAUGUCCCGCUUCAUGCAGGGUUACCAAUAACCAGGGCAAAGAUCCCGAUACAUCUUUGUCGCCCCGGGAUGGAUAGAGAACCUCGACUUGUGGGACUCAUCCAUCAAAACUUGUCGUACACCGCCCCAAUACGGAACUCAGACCCUCCUAUGCAUGCCCACGACUGUCAUAAUUAAAUGAGGCCACAUGGCUUACGAUCUGCUCACACUUUCGGCGCUCUUCCUUCAUACCCAUGACUUGUGCCUCCCGGAUCCGUUCUAGUAACGGAGUAAUCACUUUCAUCCUCAGACAUAUGUCUUGUAUCAGUGUUGUCACUGCCUUGAGGCUAAGAGCAUCAGCCACCAUAUUGGCCUUCCCUGGGUGAUAAAGGAUCUCGCAUUCGUAAUCAUUCACCACAUCUAACCACACUUCGUUCAAACCCAUGGAAAAGCGUGAACUUUUUACUAGUUAACAUAUAUGAAAUGAAUCAAUAAAAAAUAAACAUAGAAGCAACGAACUAACUGAACUAACUAAUCUAUUUGGUAAAUUCAUAAAAUACCCUUAUACAUAACUAACUUGUAAUAGAAUUUGUAAGGAGAAGUAUGAUGUGGCUAACAUCCCCCCUCAAUCUUGUGGAAAUAAACGAACACUAAGCUUGUUGAAAACAUCAUAAUGUUUUGAACCUUGAAGAUUUUUGGUGAAGAUAUAUAUAUGUUAUCAUAUGUGGAAACAUGAGACAAAUCAAUUAGACUUGCUUGAACUUGUUCUCGAACAUAGUGGCAAUCAAGUUCAAUAUGUUUGGUUCGCUGGAGAAANNNNNNNNNNNNNNNNNNNNNNNNNNNNNNNUAUAUAUAUAUAUAUAUAUAUAUAUGGAAGCUUGAUUUUCAUUUAAGAGGGAUCGGUGUAAUAUUUGGUACUUCAAAUUCUUGAAACAAUCAACUUAACCAAGCCAAUUCAGCACAGACGUGACGCAUGGAUCUAUACUCAUCCUCUGUAUAUGAUAAAAAAAAAACAGUUAUUUGUUUGUUAUAUUUCCAUGAAAUUGGUGAGCCUCCAAAAGUGAUGAAGUAUCCACUCACUGAUUUUCGAGUUAUGGCCUAUGGGACAAGAAGCCUAGUCGGAAUCGUAAAAAGCUUCCAUUUUGGAUUGUUUUUUAUCAUUAAAAUAUAAUGUUUGAUUGAUUGUUCCUUUUAGGUACUGAAGUACAUGAAUAACUUCUUAAGAUGAUCUUGUGAAUAUGACUUGUUAAAUUGGGUUAAAUAUUGAAUAGAGAAUGACAAAUAAGGACGAGUAUGUACAAGAAAGUUGAGUUUCCUAAUCAAUUUCCUAUAAAUUGUGGGAUCAGACAAAGAUUAUUGGUUGUAACUUGAUUUGAUAAGGUAAAGGAGAUUUUUUUUUAUCUUGUAUGCCAUAAUUAUGUCUCAAUUCUUAAAGAACUUUCGUUGAUGUACAGCCAUACCACCUUUAAUUUUAUUGAACGCAAUUUCUAACAAAUAAUGGAGAAGACCAAAAUCCUUUAUUUGAAAUUUGUCAUCUAAAAAGGUGUUUAGCUUGAUAAAAAUUUAUGUAUUAUUGCCAGUCACCAAUACAUCAUCAACAUAGAUUGAUACUAUGAAAAUUGUAGAAUAACUCUUUUUAAGGAAAAAAGAAUGAUCAUUAGGUGAAUCUGAAUAACCUUAUUCUCUCAAAACAACAGAAAUUUUGGAGUACCAUUGUCUUGAAGCUUGUUUCAAGCCAUAAAGAAACUCUUUCAAAUUGCAAACCUGAGAUGGAGAAGUCAAAGGAUGACCUUAUACUUCCUCAUGUAAAUCCCCAUGUAAGAAGGCAUUGUUGACAUCAAAUUGAUGCAUGUCCCAAUGUUGUUUGACUACAAGAGCAAUGAGACUUUUAAUUGUCGUGAAUUUAAAAAAUGGGGAAAAGGUCUCAUGAUAAUGUAUUCCUUCCUUUUGAGUAGACCUAGAAAUGGGGCGGGUUUGGAGCGAAUCUACCUUGAUCCAAACCCUUUUAAUAAAUUCCAAAAUCCGAUCCAAAUCCGCUCCAUAACCCGCAGGGUUUUGAAUAAUCAAACGCAUACCCUUGUCCACCGAAUCAGCAGAUAUCCAAACCCGCCCCAUAACCCGUAGGUUUUUUGAAUAAUCAAACACAUUUUACUUAAAUCAUAAAAUCACAUUUGUUAAAUAAAACAAAUGUUGAUUUAGAAAACACAUUAUGUAGUCGAAAACUUUCGAUUGGAAUUAAAAUCAUUAUUGUAGUUACUUCCAAUUGGUUUUUGACCCUCGAUUGCAUUGAUAGAGAAUAACAAUUACAAACUUUCUUCCAGUUGAUAAAUGAAUUUAUUGAUUUAUAAAUGAAAUUGGUGAUUACAUGAUGAAAUAUAAAUGAAAUGACAUCAUGAUUUUUGGGAGAAGAAUGAAAAUCUAAAAGUUGAUUCCCCAAGUCCUAUGUAUAAAUAGUUUAGUCUUUGGCCUUUUCUAUUUGGACUUUAGAUUAGAAUUUAAAGUAAAAUUUAGACAGUUUAAAAUAUAAAUGUAUAAUUUUAAAAUUUAUAUGGGGCGGGUUAUAAAUGGAGCGGAUCGGUGAUGAUCCAUACCCGACCCUUUUAAUAAAAGGGUUAGCGGUACGGGUCGUUAACGGGUAAACGGAUCAAAAACUAUGCUCCAAACCCGUAUAAUUGUUAAGUGUUUGGAUCAGAUCAGGGUCAAAACCCGCUCCAUUUCCAGGCCUACUUUUGAGUGAAUCCCUUUGUCGCUAAUUCGGUCAGCCAUAUGCUUUAAUUUUGACUUUAUAGAACAAGCAAUUGACCUUUUUCCUUUAGGAGGUUUGACAAUGUGCCAUGUCAUAUUAGCAUCAAGUGUAAUGGUUUCAGUUUGCAUAGCCAUUUACCACUCUAUUAUACCUUUUUCUUGAUGAUUAAAUGAAGGAUGAAAAGGAAUAGAUGUCAAGGAAGAAACUUAAGACAUUUGAUUGUCAAUAUAAUGAUGUUGAAAAUUCUCACUGAUACAUAAACUCGUAAUAGUAUGCAUACAAAGAUAUGUAGAUUCUUAUGAUGUAACAUGAGUGCAUAUAUCAUUCAUGUAGGAUGGUGAAAAAUAAAUUAUAUUGCUUCUUUAUAUCUUAGGACAAGGGUAGAAUGGUCAUUUUCUGGAAAAGUUGCAUUUUGAGUAGAAAUGGGUAUGAGUUAUGAAUGCUCAAUAUCAUAUGAGGUAAUAGAGAUAUAGGAUAUGGAUAAUGGAUGUUUAAUAGCAUGCAGAGGAAAUAUAUUACUUGAAAUCUCUUGAAACAUGAAUGUUUUGAUUGAUCAAAUUAAGCACUUUAAAAGCUUUUUGACCAUGGGAAUAUCCAAGAAAGAUACAAGAGUGUGCCCUUGACAUGAAUUUGUCUCUGUUAACAGGUCUGGAAGACACAAAAAAAACGCAUCCAAAUGUUUUCAAAGUUGUGAAAUCAUGAUCUUUGUUAUACAACAACUGACAAGGGGGUUUGUUGUAAAUAACCUUGGAAUGAAGUCUAUUAAUGAUGUAAACAUCCGUUUUAGUACAUUCACCACAAUAUGAACUCCCAACACUAGAUUAAAAGUAUAAUGCCCUAACAACUUCAGGAGUGUAUCUAUGUUUUCUCUCUACUAAACCAUUUUGUUGAGGGGUAUGACGGGAUAAUUUCUGGAGAAUUAUACUAGUUGUUUGAAAGCAAUUUUGCCCAUCUAAACUAUAUCCAAUCUCUUUUCCAGUGUUAGUUUGAAUACAUUUGAUAGUGACUUGUAAUUAGGUUUGAAUGAAGGUCACAAUGGAUUUUAUUAAAGUAAAAGCAUAGCUUUUGUGAUUUAAUAAAUGACUCCAAGUGUGUCGUGUAUAAUCAUCACUAAUGGUUAGAAAGUAUUUAUACCCAUCAUGAGUUUGAUGUUUAUAUGGACCCUAUACAUCAACAUAAAUAAUAUCAAAAAUAGAAUUAAUGUAUGUAACACCAUGAGGAAAAGAUGGUCUAGUUUGUUUGGCUUAAGCACAAGUAAUACAAGCAUCAAUAUCAGAAAGAGUAUAAUUAGGAAGAUACAUAAUAUGUUUCAAUGUAUCUAAAGAAACAUGACCAAAUCAUUAAUUUGUGCCACAUCAUAAUGUUUGAAUGAGAAACAUAUACAUGAUGUAAAAAAGAAAUUAAAGAAACAUAUAAAGUGUAUGACAAAUUGUGUUUGAGAUGAUCAUAAUCAAACACAUAUACAUCAUUUAUUCUCUUCCUAACAACACCAAGUGAAAUUCUAUUCUUCAACAAAGGGUCAUGCAUGAUACAUGUCUCAUCAGUGAAUAAAACAAAGGUGUGAAGUUGUGAUGUAAGUUUGAUUAUGGAGACAAUGUUAAAUCUGAACGAAGGAACAUAUAGCACAUUAUGCAAUAGAAUAGAUUUAUGAAGUUGAACAUCACCAUAAUGUGAAACAGGAAGAUUGGAUUCAUUAGGUAGCCUAAUUCUACGUGGAUGAGAAAACUUAGUCAUAGACACAAAAAUAUUGGAAUUAGAGGACAUAUGAUUUAUAGAAAUAUGUUGUUUAAGAAGAGCAUGUGAUUUAUAGACAUUAGAAGAAAAAUGAGCAUAAGAAAAGAAAUUAGCAUUAUGAAGCAUAAGCCUUAGGUUCAUCCUUUUUUUACUUUGGUGAAUUUAAAUGUGGAAGGAAAGCCAGUCAACCGGUAUCACCGAGAUUUGGAAUUACCAGACUUCAAUGUCCACAGAGUAAUGUUUUCUUGGAUGAAUUAUAUGAUUGAUUGAUAGAUACUUUCAUAGGAAUGACAUCAAGAUAAAUUGCAUGUAGAGGAUUAAUGUCUCUUUGACAUUCUUCUUGAAUGAUCAUUGAGUAAACAGUGGAAACACUUGGUAAUGGUUUCAUCAUUAUGAUUUGUCCUAUAAUUUCUUUAUAAGUGUCAUUUAAACCCAUGAGCAAUUGAAUCAAUUGUUGAUCAUUAAGAAAUUUUCGAAUACAUGUAAUAACAGCACGAGUAGAAUCUUGAAUACUAGGGAUGUCAAAAAGUCCCGUGGGACCCCGAACCCAUGGGGCCCCGAUCCUGAAUGGGGAAUAUUUGUUUAAAAAAUCGGGGACGGGGGUGGGGGCGGGAGCAAUGUUAACCCCCGUUUUAGUUUCGGGGGCGGGGGCGGGGGUGGGUAGUCCCGUCCCGAAACCCCAAUGGGGACCCCGUUAAUAUAUUAUUUAUAUUAGUAUAUAUUAAUUGUAAAAAUAUAAUAAAUAAUAACAAUGAUUUUGAACUUCCAAAAUUCAAUUAAAUAUCAUGUUUUUAAGUUUAUAGUAUAACGUUUUUAAGAUGUUAGAAUAUUUUUAUUUUAAAUAUAUAAACUUAUGCUAUAAAUAACUAUUUUUAUCCAAAAUGGUUUCUUUUAGCCUAAACANNNNNNNNNNNNNNNNNNNNNNNNNNNNNNNNNNNNNNNNNNNNNNNNNNNNNNNNNNNNNNNNNNNNNNNNNNNNCGGGGGAUGCAAUCCCCGUCCCAUUUGCCCCUGUUGACAUCCCUAUUGAAUACUCUUAACAAUGCGAAUUUCUUCCUAGAUCUUCAUUAACUUUUUGAAAUGGGUUGAGAAAUCAUUAACUAUUUGUUCAUAACGAUGAUUGAGCUCCUUCUAGAUCUCAAAUGAUGUUUGAAGAAACAUAGCACUUUCAGCAAUGUUUGAAUGUAGUGAGUUUAGUAGUUAACUGAUAACCAUAGAGUUAACUUGAUGCCAAUUUGAAUAUGUGGAAGAGUCAGAAGAAGCUUGUGAAAUUGAGCCAUCGAUGAAAGCAAGUUUGUUCUUUGCAUAUGGAGAAAUUUUCAUAAAUCGUUUCCAAGAUGAAAAUUCAUGUCCAUUGAAAACAUGUGAAAUAAGAACAACUCUUGGAUUGUCAGAAGAUCCAAGAUAAUCAGGGCUUGAUACAUUCAUUGCAACAGAUUGAGAUGAAUUUAUCGAAGAAUAAGGAAUCGACGUGAUGAAAAAAAAACAGAUAAAUUUGAAUGCGAAAGGUGAAAGAGAAUCGAUUAGAAAGUUGAUACCAUGUUAUCUUAAGAGAAUUAGAGACACAAAGAAGAAUAUGAACAGGAAUCAAUCGGUUCUCUUCAACAUAAACAAAAUGAAUCAACAACAUAUAUAAAGUAACACAGAGAAGCAACGAUCAUAUGGAAGAAUCACCUUACCUGAUAAAUCGUUUUGAUCAACAGUUUAAUGACACAGCCAGGGGAUUCCUUGGUCAGUGUUGAUUUAUAAAUGCAAUCCAAACAUUAGAGUAUUUGAUAAAUAUGAUAUCUUGUUUCAUCUACGUAUGUGGGUUAUAAAUCCACCCUAGCAAAGUAAUUCACAAGACCAUCUACAAUAAUCCAGUGUUGUCAUCUUACUCUGGUAGAUGACUCAUACACACCCACUUGGUAUCUGAAAGAGGAGGAAUACUGCACUCUACAUCAAACUCAUGCAUUACCCUAGAAUGAGACUACUCACUCUUAAAUUAAAUUUGAACUAAGUAUCCUUUAUAAGUCUUUGUUUGUAACUAGACAAGAUUACAAUACAUGUAGUUAACUUACAAUACUAAUUUUAUGUUCAUGCAAUACUAUCACAAUACAUGGUAUAUGUUUAGUACAAAAUACAAAUAGUAAUCAUUCAAUAUACAUUUAAUCUUUUAAGUAACAAAUACUUUUAUGAAGAUCGUGUUCAUAAAAGUAACUACCCACUAACUAUACAAUAUAUACAUUUAAUCUUUUAAGUAAUAAAUACUUUUAUUAAGAUCAUGCUCAUGAAAGUAACUACGCACUCUACUGAUUAAAGGUGGAAGAUUUGUGGGUAGGUUAGUUCUUCGUUCAACAUUUUAGCUUCCCCUUUUAAAUGACCUCAAUACAAUAUUACUAAGUUUUAGUUUCAUUUAUAUUUAUAUUAUUCAAGAUUAUAUUAACUAUUUCUCAUAUUCUUCAUUAAUCUUAAUGAAUACCAAGUUCUAUCAAAUAAGGAAUGACCAGGUAAGAUGCUAUUAGACGUAUGAUCUGUUUGGUAUAUAAAUAUAUUGUUUGGAAAAUCCACUUUAAACACCUCACUAAGAUCUUACUUAGAAAUUAUGUUCGUAAGUAGAUCAAUCAGUAUUAUAACCAGUACUAGUGAUAAAUCUUAUUUAUAGGUUCAUAACAACGACAAUAAACACAAUAAAAGUUACACUUAACAAGCAUGGUAAGUGCAACUUAUCUUAUCGGAUUGCCUAGCAAAAACUCAAAGGUCCCGCGAGCUAACUUCGACAUUGAAUUCUUCUCCACACAAACUCUCCAACGCUUCAACGUGUAACAUCCCAAAAAUCAAGGUAAAUUUUUCAUUUUCAAAACCAAGCCAAAAACCAUAAAUUUUUACAAACAUAGUUUCCAAAAGUUAUAAUCAUGAAUCAGAGUAUCCCAAAAUCAAAUAUCAUAAAAUACGAAGGAUAUGCACAAUCAAGCCUUCACCUUGCCCCUAAUCUCAGAAGUACCUGAAACCAUAUCAAUCAAACUGUAAGCCAACUCUUAGUGAGUUUCCCCAAAAUACCACCACACAACAUAUAACAACAUGCAUACUAGAUCCACAGUCAUCGGAGUGGAUUACCCCUGAGCCCACAGCAUGAGUCUAGUUGGCCUAUCAGGCCCACAUCUCAUGUCUGGAUUGAUCUCGAGCCCACAACAUAAGUCUGACUUGCCUUUUUGGCCCAUAACUAUGUUUGGCUUGCUACCAGGUUUGUUGUCCUCCGCACAAAGUAGUAUUGCCUCAACCCACACUCGUUAUGUCGACACAUGCAACAAAUAAACAUAUAACCAGAAAGCAGAUAAGCAUGUAGAUUUAACAUAUCACUAUAGCAUAGAAACAUCCUAUAUACAGGAUACAUAACCUAGUUGGUCGGUAUUGGUGCCUUCGACCCACAAGUACAAUGAGGAAAACUUACCUGAAUCACAAAGCCGACUAAAACCCAACUCAAUGUUGUGCCGACCGCUGCUAAUAGAUCUCACCGCCAAGGAUGGGUAUUAAAUACCUCAUAUCAAUCCAUACAAGGCAAACCCUAUGUUUAUCUCCUAAAAUAGAAAUUUGACCAAAAUUCAACUCAUGUCAAAAGUCAACAGUCAAAGUUAACGGCCAAUGUUGACUUUAGCCAACUACCAUGCCGUGCCCUUCCUUGGCCACGUCGUGGCCCUCAUACAACCAGACAUACGGGAAAUUCCCAAUCGCUAGUUCAUGGCGAUCUAUGGCCACGCCGUGGGCAUUGGGUUUCCAGCAGCUUAAUGGAUUAAGUCGGUUUUCUCGAUUCCAAGAACUCCAAAGCUCAAAUCUGGUCCAUUCAAUGGUCUAAAUGGAUAAAUUUUCCAACUUAUCCAUUAAUACACCCAACAAGAUCAAGAUCUCCAACCCUAAGUCCAAAUAAAGCCAAAUACCACCAUGUCUUAACCAUUAAUACCUUAAUAUGAAAAGUCCUUAAUCCAACCACUUCAUAAGGGUUUUCUAAUACCAGAUCCAUCAUAAAGAUGGAAGCUUUAUAGAAAUUUAUGUCUAAUACAUGUCUAGAAUCCAUUUUAGGUCAAAAUGAGCUCUAAAGACCAAAACUCAAGCAAAUGACGAUAACUUCCACCAAAGACUAAAACUAAAACAUAUAAUGCUCUUGAGACUCAGGAGAGUCAUAAAGUUGCCAACUUUAUGAGUUCAUUCCUUCCAAACUUGCUCUAAUAUGAAGGACCUUGGACAAUAUUCAACAUCUAACCACUUAAAUCCAUAAAGCAAGGAACCUAGACACUUAUAAAGGACCAAAGAUGCCCAAAAUAGAUCUUCACUUCAGCCAAAAAGCACCACAAUCCUUUCCAAUGCCUUUUCUUUCUUCAUAAGCACCCAAGGUCACCAAAAUGGACUCACAACUGUCAAGGAGGAAUUUGGGUUAAGGUUUCUAAAACUUGAGGGGGAUAUGAUUUAGAGGGGUUUAAAUAUGAAGAAAACCCUAAAAGAAUCAUGGGCUUGGGCCAGGUGAGCUGUCACGGUGUGGCAACCUUUGGCUACGCCAUGACGAUCCAAAAACACACGCGAUCCAUUAAACAACUUCCAUGUCUUGGCCCUCCUUGGCCAUGUCAUGGCACAAGAUUUCUUCCAAAGCUUCAUCUUUGGUCCCUAAUAAAAGUAAGCUUAACCAAUCUGGAACACGGGUGUUACACAACGCUUCAUUAAAAGAUUCGAAAAGAACGAAGAAAUAAAAUCACAAGGACUGAAAUCCCGAGGGUUGAAAGAGAAAGAAUUAACAAGGAAUAAAUGAGGAGGUGAGUUGUUAUUUAUAGCAACUUUUUUCAAAAGUGUGAUGUGCCUAUGUACGCCGUGCCUUACAUGACGCUUACUGGUGAAGCCACGUCACUCGAUGGUUGUUGGGGUCAUUUUCUCUCCUACUACCAUGUGGUGGCUCGCAGCCUAGAGCUGCCAGCUUCCAGGUAAAUUCUCAUUUUCUUUGGAUAAUUGUAACUUUCACAUACGACCUUCAUUUUCGACGAUUUUAUAUCCUCGGAUUCGUAAUUUCGCAUUCCACAACUUUCAUCAAGACUACUUUGGCUAAAAAGUAAUCUAUUUUCACUUUGAUGUUUAUAAAGAGUAUACAUUGAAAUUAUCUUAUAAAAUUCAUAACUUCUUCAUACGACGUCAUAUUUUGGCGAUCUUUAUACUCUCAGGUUCGUAUUCAUGACUACCACAACUUUAGUAUAAUUAUUUAUUGUUUUAUAUAAGUAACUUAAAUAUUAUUUAUAUACAAAUAACAUUUAGAUAAAACCUCAUAAAUGGUCCCUUUGCUUUUUAGAAAUGUGAGAUAUAGUCCCUAAGUUAGAGGGAAAAAAACCCUCAUACAUAGUCCUUAUGGUUCCAAAACUUUUAACAAACAACCCUUUACAGCUAAUUUCGUUGUAGAUUUAGUCACUUUCAAAAUUAAAAUGAGCUUUUUACCUUUAACAUAUUUAUUUUUCAUUUUUCAUUAUUUCAUUUUAAUAUGUUAUUAUUAUUAAAUACAUAAAUGGCCCACGUCUCUCUCUCUCUUUCUCUCUGUGUGUGUGUGUCUCUCUCUCUCUAUCUCUAUCUCUCUCUGUGUGUAUGUGUAUCUCUCUCUCUCUCUCUCUCUCUCUCUCUCUCUCUCUCUCUUUCUUAUGGUUUCUAUUUUUUUUAAUAACCUUAAUUAAAAUACAUAUAAAAAAAAUAAAAAGGGUAUAUAAGUCUUUUUAUAUGGGUGGGAGACUAUUUUUUAAAAGUUUUGGAACAAAAUGAACCAUCUAUAAGGUUUUUGAACUUGUGGACUAUAUCUCAGAUUUCUAGAAACCAUAGGGACUAUUUAUUAAGUUUUGUCUAACAUUUAUAUAAACACAUAUACAAAGAAUUCUUAUUUAUUUCUUUAUAAAAAAAUUUACAUUAGUUAUAUUAUUAACUAACCUAAAUAAGGUUUUUUCCAUGUAAUGUUUAACAAAAAACAGGGGCAUUAUACAUAUGGAAAUUUNNNNNNNNNNAUAUAUAUAUAUAUAUAUAUAUAUGGUAGAAUAGUAUAGAAUAGUCACAAAUAUAUGUAACUUGUAGUAAGAUCUAAAAACUUCUUGAGGAGGUGCAAACACCUAUAAAUGGGGUUGAGUUUAUUUUAUCCAAACAUCCAAUAAACAAUUCAACAAAUAAAAAUGUAAUAUUCUCUAAAAAUGUAAGUCUUUCUCAAAUGAUCUUAGUAAAAAAUGUUUUCAUUUCACACAUAAAGAGUUGUGCUCAACAGAUCUUAGGAUCAAAAUUCAAAAGGGUGGUUUAGAAUUUAGGGUGUCUAACGGAACAAAUUAUGACACCAGUUUCGAUUGGUGUUUCAAUACUUCUACAAAAAGCCUGAAGGAGGAGAUUGAAGAUGCGUUCGUUAAUAGUUUUAAUAGAAUGUUGAAUAGGAUGUUGCGAUAAACAUUUUCGCAACGAUUUGUAAGGGUUUUAAAGAGACACGGUAUGUCGCUGAUUCUUAAAUAAAUUGACAAAGGCACAUGAGGAAGACAUUUAAAGAAAGAUAAUUUCUUGGUGUUUAUGGUGAAUCGUCAAUUUCAUGUGCAUUUGUCAAUUCCAUUAAAAGUCUUGCAAAACUUUGCGGAGAUGGUUAUUCGACGUUCUUUGCAGACUUCCUAUGAAGUCAUUGAUCUUCGUUAUGACUGAAUACCCAUAGUUGUCUAAAAAUAUCAAAGCAUCCGUCUUGAAUCUCCCACUUAAGGAUUUUUGUAGAAGUAUCGGAACACAUAUCGGAACUAGUUUUGGACUUUUUUUCGUUAGAUACCCUAAAUUCUAAACCACCAUUUUCAAGUUUAAAUUUCGGUCUCAAGAUCUGUCGAGCACAACUCUUUAUGCGUGAAAUGACAAUGCUUUUUAUUAGGAACAAUGAUUUUUAUUAAGACCGUUUGAGAACAACUUACAGUUUGAGAAACUACUACACUAAUUCUUACUUGUUAUAUCUCUCUUUUAAAUACAUAAUUCAUCCGUAUGAAGUCGGAAUUGCUUUAUUUUUUUCCAACAUAUAAUUUGAUGUUUGUAGUUUAUUUUAGACUGUGAAAAUACACAUUUCCGUUGCAAAUCACAAAAUCGGUUCCAUUAUGAAAAAAUAAUUGAAAAAUCAGGACCUACACCGGCACCGGCAAUCCGGUUCUCGGUAUACAAAUUCAAUUCCAGUUUGGUUUCGGUCCGAUUCAAAAGUUCAUCCUUAAUGAUAACCUCCUACAAGUUUAACAAACUUAAUUUUCAUCUGCAUAUGAACAAGCCAAAAAAAUUAAGUUUAUCACUGGUAAUGUACACAACCAUAAUUUGUUCUUUUAAAAACAAGAAAAAAAUGUAAGGAAUCAAACACUAGAGAAACAUACCUCGACAUUGCGGCCAUUGUGCCACAACUCAGCUUGUUGCAUCAAAUCAUUAUCAUACCUAUACACAUCUCUCUGGAGCAUGUUUUAUGCUUCAAAAGAGUUUGAGUAUAGUGGUAAGCAAUAGCAACUCCCGAUGAUAUGUUCCAUCAUACAUUUUUAUGAUUUUUAUCACGAAACAAGGUUACAAUAUUAAUAACCUAAUGCUUCAAGCAUUAUUAGCAUCAAUGUUCAAAUUUUUGCUAUGCUUUGCUACAUUUAUUCAAUCUGAACACCUGUAGUUUGAUGUAUAAGCUAGUAAGCAUUUUUGUUCAAUCUCACAUUCCUAUACGUCUACUAUAUUUUCUGGUUUUACUAAAGAAAACAGAACCCCUAUCUGCCCUAUAAUCUCAUAAUAACAGUGGUGAAUAUUCUAUCAAACUUUACUUGUGUGAAACAGCAAAGCUGUGCAAGCUAACUUAAGCAAAAAAAUAAAAACGAAAUUCAAAACGUUUUUAAUGAUCUGCAAUAUAAAAAUUUAUACGUAGAGAAAUUUAUUUUUCUCUAGCGAUUAAUUGUCUCAACUAAGCGAAACCAACCUCUUAUUCAAAUAAAGAAAAUUAAACUCUUAAUUGUGCAGGGGCCGCGCGAACGCAGGCCCCCACUGCCACAAAUUAUGAUGUAGGUUCGACCACUUGGGCCGACCUUAGGGUAGCACCCCUUCAGAGUGCAAUGAAGGUCACUAACCUAGGCCAUGAGCCAUCUUGACCACCCAUUGACCCCAUCCAGGUAAGUAAGUCUUCCAGACUCCUCAUUCCCGUUUUAUUGAGUUUCUCCUCUCUUUCUCUUUAUUCCACCUGCCGAUGUGGGAUAGUUUAAUAUGCAUGUAUCGUUGGAAGUUUUUUUUUUUUUUUUUUUUUAAUAUUUUUCACACCUUUGCUUUUACAAUUAUAGAAACGAAAUGGAUUGAUAAAGUUUUUAAACAUUUGAUAUUUUGGUUGGCUAGAAACUAGAAAGUACUUCACGACUAUAAGACAAGACAUACUUGGUUCAUUGAACUAAAACUUUAUUUAUUUCUUCUUUUGUCUAGAUACUGUAAUCAUCUAGUGAUAAACUUACACAUACUUUGGUUCAAACUUAUCAUCAGAAUUAUAGUAAAAAAACAUUGAACUAGUACUAGUUAUAAAAAAUUAGGGCAUCCUGAUCAUAUCCUAUAUAGAAAUGGAUUGGGACAUUGAAUUGUUUUAGCCUUUUAGGUGUUUUACACUUUGUUUUUAUUUUAAAAAAAAAAAGUUAUUUUUAACUUGACAAUAAAGAUCAAUCAAAAUAUCUACACAUUAGCAUUAUGUUUAUUUAAUUUUUUCUCUUAACAAUUAUAACUUUGGCAGCCUAAAAAUAAAUUAAUAUAUAUAAUAAAAAUUAUGUUCUCUUUUGUCACGAAAGAACACUUUUUGUUCUGUUUUAUCAUUUGCAUUUUAAUGGAGUAAAUCGUACAAAUGGUUCUUGUCAUUUUCAUUUUUUGGUUUACGUCCCUAAAUGAAUCUUUUCCCACAAAAGGUCCUUAUGAGAGGGUUUUGGUUUAGAUUUGGUCCUGAAAGAUAGACAUCGUUUAAGGGAUUUGUCAAGACAUGUGAUUUGUACGUGGGUGUAAUAAUGUCUUUUUCAUUCCUUAUAUUCCGUCGAUUAGAUAGAUAUCACCAUUAUAUCAUUGUUUGUCAGCACAAUGACCAAAUACACAUUCUAAUUACACUUACCCUCGCAUCAUAUUCUAAAUUUCACAUGAAAAAAAAAAAAAAAAAAAAAAAACUACUUUGCAAAAGCUUUCUUCCAGUGGCAUCAAAUCUUUGGAAUAUUCAAAGGAGUAACCAUUUUUUGUAACAUGUUUUCUUCUUAACAAUUUGCAUGUACACUUAUCGUAGAUGAUAUGGAAAAUGACAAUUUAGCAUAGACCUGGCAAUUCGUGUAUUCGUGUCAUUAAAACGUGUCAACCACGAAUUUGACACGAUACGAUUACACAAUGAGAAAUAAACUUUAUCUCAAUUUUUAAGAUGUAUUCGUGUCGUGUCGUGUCGUGUCUUUUACAGAUCCGUGUCUUCGUGUCUGAAAUUGUCAAGUCUACUUUAGCACAACCGACUAACCAACUGUUCUAUUUGGUCUUAUUUGAUCACUAUUUUUUUUUUUUUUUGCACAUAAGUUAUUAAACUUACAACUUACUUUGUUUAUUAAGUUACACAAAUUGUCCAUAUAGUUUUAGUUUUUUUCAUGGUUGGUCCCUUAUAAACAUCAUUCCCACCGAUACCACCACCGUUCACUUCUAAUAGUAACUAGUGUUCACUUUUAGCAACCCCGUGGUUUUUUAGGCUAUCUUCAUUCUGUAAUUCUGAUUUAUGAACAUCGUUGCAACCUCUAGAAACGAAAUGAAUUAUAAUUGGCUUAUUUGGAUUUCAAUUAAAACUAACGAAAAAAGUUCUCUCUAAAACGAUGAUAUAUAUUUCUAAUGUACCUAUGAUGGCUAUAUAAACAUUUGGUCAUUUUUUCUUGAUUAAUUUCAUGGUUGUUUUGAGACUCAUAUUUAUAUGAUAAGCGUUUUUCAUAGUUGUUUUUCCAUUGUUCCAAAACAAAUUUUUGCGGUUGGUCCAGAAAAUAUGAAAUAAAACUUUCUUGAGAUGAAAAUUUGUUAUAUCCGAUAAACAUGCAACUAACAAACGGUAGCCAAUUAUAUCGAUUCAUGUGUUGAUGCACUUCUCGUAAAUCCCAUCAUAUGUGAAAGAUGAAUAACCGAUUUAAUUCGCGUUUAGCAAUGUGAAUUUUUUUUAAUGAAUUUGAAAUUAUGAUCGCUUUCAUUACAUAAAAAAUGUGUAAUACCAAGUAUUACCCAAAUAUAUUCAUAAUAUUGUUGUAGUAUAAAGGUGUUGCUGAUGAGACACAUCUUAGACACCUUGUUAUUAUUUUUAUAAAAAAUCAACCUAUAAUCAACUUUUUCGGAAAAAAAUGAAAUUUCAACCAAUAAAAAAAUCUUAAAAUCAAAUAGAGUGUCUAAAUGGAAAAAUAGAAUGUCUUUUUAGCCAAACUCAUAACAAAAUUACCCACGACUAACAGUCCAACUCCCUGUCGGAUUUUUCAUCUUCCUCACUAUAAUCGAUACCUUUUAAAGCUUGUCUGUCUUUCGUAUUCUCUUCAUCUUUUCCUUACUAUCCUGCCGGUAAACAUAACUAAAGAUCAAAAAAACGUGGGGUUGUCAAAAGUGAACAGCGACGGUGGCGAUGAUGAACAAUAUUGGUUACGGACCCACCACAAAAGAAAUUAAAACCGGACCAUUUGUGUAAUUUAUAUUAACUAGUUAACUUUGUUAAAAACCAAAUGAUUUAAUAAGGAGAUAAGUUGUAAGUUUGACAUGGGUUACUUAAAUAGACAAAAUUGACAAAUUUAAUGGUCUAACAUGUAAAUAUCAAUUACAGCAUUUCUAUAUUUCGUUGGGCUUUAGGUUUAUCUUAAUUUAGCACAACAGAUCUGAUGUGAAGAAAACUUAAGUGAAUAAAAUUAGGCAGGGGCCGCGCGAACGCAGGCCCCCACUGGCACAAAUUAUGAUGUAGGCUCGACCUCUUGGGCCGACCUUAGAUUAGCACCCUUCCAAAGUGCAAUGGAAGUCACUAGCCUAGGCCAUGGGCCAUCUUGACCACCCAUUGACCCCAUCCAGGU
RNAcentral lists this long non-coding RNA (72080 nucleotides) under Lactuca sativa (garden lettuce). RNAcentral describes it as "long non-coding RNA (LSAT_LNC001996)". The record is from RNAcentral. Lineage: Eukaryota; Viridiplantae; Streptophyta; Magnoliopsida; Asterales; Asteraceae.